GCAAGCUCCUCCAAGCACCAUUUGGAAGAUGCAUAGUUUUCAGAAAAAACAAUCACAGAAAGCUUGGCCUCUUCAAUUGUUCUCAGAAGUGAUUCCGAAAUCUCAUCUCCUCUCACAUGCUGAUAAUCUACGAAAGUUAGGAUUUGUUUCCGGUUCAAAGCAGCAUGGAGGUUGCUGGUAAAACCAACACGAGUUUCUUCUCCUCUGAAACUAAGGAAGACAUCAUAUUUAAUUCCUUGUGGCUGGGCGGUGGUUAAGGUGGAAGGAGUAGAUGGUGAUGGAGACAUCAUAUUGUUUUGUGGAGAAACAGUCGAAGAAACAAGAGUAGAUGGCGAUGGAGAAACAUGGCGGCUUCGUAUGAUCAAUCUCCAGAUAUAAACAAACAAAAAGAUAUUGAGAAACAAUAAAAAUACCACCAUUGUUUUGUGGAGAAACAAGAGUAGGACUCUGGUGGUAAGGUAGGUCUGGAGGGAGAGAGCGGAAGUAACUCAAGGAAAAAAGAUGAGGCUGAUUUUGAAUCAGUAGCUUAGGCUUUACGUGUUUAAGACCCUGCCUUAGGCAUAUGUAUCAUUUAUAGGCAUCAAAUCCAAGAAUUUUCUUAGAACAUUACAAGAUUGCACAUUGUUGAUUUCCUAGAAAUUCCCCAGUUACAAAGUGAUGUGAUAGGAAAAGGCAUUUAUACUUUGUUUUGUUUUUAUGGUAUUCACAGUAUUUUUAUAAAUUUUGAUUUUUUUUAAUUAAUUUUUUUAGUUUUUAUUUUAUUUUAAUUUACUGAUAUAAAAAUAAUUUUUAAAAAUCAAAAGCAUAUAUAUUCUUGUUCAUCAUAUCACAGCUGUGAUAGAUGCCUUUUUUAAUAUUUCAAAUGUAUUAGCUAUUCACUUCGCGGAGUAGCAGAUCUUUUGUUAUUUUUUCUUCAACUUUUUUAUUUUAUAUUUUCUUUAAACAGUAAACACUUCUGUCCCACAUCAUUCUUUAAGGACAUUAACUAGUAUAUCGGCAUACAAUUCACAACAGGGUUAAUAUUAAUUUUUUAAAAAUUAGAAAAUAUUACAAGUGUUUAGCAAUAUCUAAAUGUUCCUGGAAAUUAUUUCUUGUAUUUGUUUUCUAAGGAACGGUUGCUUUGAUAUAUUUUUUUCAAAAUAAAAAUAACAUUUUGAUGUAUUUUUUCAAAAAUAUAUUUUAAAAAACAACUGUUACUGCACUCCUAAACACCCUCCUAAAAAAAAGUAUGUGAAAAAAAAACAUUAUAGCAAUUCACAAUAAUUUACGAAGAAAAUUAUAGUGCUUCCCCACAUGAUUUAGCCAUAUUUAUAAUUACUUGUAAUUGUAAUUAUCAAACAACUUAAUAUUAAAAAAAUAAAAUUGACAAAGAUAAUAUUAAAAAAAUUAUAAGAAAGAAAAACCAUGUGGAGAGACAUUGUAACAAUCCACGAUAUUUUGUGAGGAAAGAUACAGUGAUUUCCCACAUGAUUAAGGUUUAUUACAAAGUUAAAUUAUAACCAACUUAAUAUGAAGAAAAAAAAAUUAACGAAGAUAAUUUUGGAAAAAAAAUAUUACAAAAAAAAAAAGAAAACACAAAAGAAAUUGGAAAAAAAAAUAUGAGGAAAAACUGUAUCAAUCUAUAGUGUUUUGUGAGGAAAAACUUGUAUUUACUUGUAAUUGCAAGUCUUAACCAGCUUAAUAUUUAAAAAAUAAAAUUAACAAAGAUAAUUUUAGGGAAAAAAUAACAAAACGGAAAAAAACUAUAUGAAAUAAAACAUUGUAGCAAUCCAUAGUAAUUUGCGAAGAAAGUUAUAGUGUUUUCCUCCCAUAUUGUAACUGUAAUUUUUAACCAGCUCAAUAUUAAAAAAUAAAAUAAAAUAAAAAAAGAUAAUUUCAGAGAAAAUAAAAAAAAACAUAUGGAGAAACACUAGCAAUUAAUAAUGUUUUAAAGAAAAAAAUUACAAAACUAAAUUUUUAAUCAGCUUAAUAUUAAAAAAAUAAAAAUAUAUAAUUUUAAAAAACAAAAUAAAAAACUAUGUAAAAAAACACCACAUCAAUUCAAAAUAUUUUAAAAAAUGAAAUUUAAAGUGAAAUUUUUAAUCAGUUAAAUAUUAAAAAAAUAGAAUUAAUUCAAAAUUACACACAAUCUAUUCAAAUAAACCGGUAGAUGCCUUUUCCUUUUUCCUUUUAUAUAUAUUUAUUUAUUGUGAAGAAGAAGAAGAAAAAGAAGUCGUCUUGAAGGAGAGACGAAGGGACUGGGGAUCGAUGGGGCCAAUCCUCUGGGACGACGACUUGACCUUAAGUACUCUUCCUGGUGAGUGCUAGGGCAGCGUGUUCGGGAAGCUGAGUUUGGAAAUUACGUGUUUGUUUUUACAUGCUUCUUUCCAGCUCAUUACACACAAUCUAUCCAAAUAAAUCGGCAGAUGCCUUUUUCUUUUUCCUUUUAAAGGGAUCAUCGGCCGUCGGUGUUGUUGGAACAUAAACAAUCGAACAUUGGAAGAAAUAAAUAAUUUCCCCAUGCUUAAAUUAAGGCUACUAUUCUUUUGAACUCCGGCCAAACAUGACAGGGCUUUAGUAAAAUGCCUUUUUUCUUCUUCUUCCUCUGUCUUUUGCAGAAAAGAUUGAGAAGUUUAUACACACACCUAUAUACACCUAUAUACGUAUAUAGGUGUGUGUGUAAAUAUAUAUAAGGAAAAAGGAAAAAGGUAUAUAUUGGUGUGUGUGUGUGUAUAAAAGGAAAAAGGAAAAGGCACAUGGCAACUUUAUUAUAAUUAAUGGAUCGAGUAAAAUGUACAAGUUUCUUCGUAUAAUUUUAUUUUUUUCAAAUAGAAUAUUAAUUCGGAACUAAAAACAAUUAAAAAUUUCCAAAAUAUCCAUUUUAAACUGGGAUGAACCCCAGAAAAUAUUCGACUUUUAUCCAUAGUUUUAAAACCCGACCUGGUGGUCGACCCGGUCUUAUGACCGGGUCACGGGUCAGAUGGGUUGACCCGGGCUGACCCGGGUCAACCCAAAAAAAUCUAAUAAAAACUUCAAUAAAUACAAUUCCCCUCUUAUCCCUCUUUCUCAUCAAUCCACUUUUCAACUUUCAAAUUGCUUUCCAGCUUUCAAUCCACUUUCCAGCUUUUCAAUCGCAAAUAAACGUUCUUUUUUAAUCACCAGCAAAUAGGCAUUCUCUUUAAAUUGAGAAUUGAGAACACAUGGGCAUCAGAACAGAAAACAACAACAAUCAUGCAUCAACGACAACGCUGAUAUUCACGCACAAAACUUUGAAGAGGGGCUUUUCAAAUCAUGUCUUGAUGCAGGAUCUGAUCAAAAUCGGGUAUGCUGUCUUCAAUGGAAUCUACAUGAACGAGCAGGGAUCACUAAAAAGAGGAUGUCGUGUUUGGGGUGGAGGUGUAUUACGGGCAGUCGGGCAUAGGAGCUAUGCGAUUGAAAUUGCUUUUUCUUGUUAUCUUUAUCUGCAAUUUUGCAUCCUUCAUCCUUUAUCUGCAUAGUUUUGACUUUAAAUGGCCAAAACGAACGACGUCGUUUCGGACUCUGUAUGUAUAAAAAAACAAAGAGGCCGGGUCUCAGUCGGGUUUGUCCGGGUCGCCGGGUUCCGGGGGUCGACCGGGUUUCACCGGGCCAAUUCCUCGGCGGGUUUUUACUUAGACCCGGACCGGUCCUAGGCCCGGGUCGGCCGGGUCCCGGGUCGACCCGCCGGGCCGGUCCGGGUUUCAAAACUAUGCUUUUAUCCCCCCCUGCUGUCUAAUGUAAAAGACGGGUGUUUUUUUUCACUUGUCACGCUCCCCUGCAUCACCGGCUCAUGGAGGUAAAAAUCUUACGUCACAGCGACAUCAUCUUGUCCCCUGCAUUUUGUCCUCAGCUGGAAGACACGUGCAAAAAAGAGAGAGGUGAUCUAAAGUCAUUGUUGCGGACAAGCAGCAACCAGGAAGCAAUCCACUUGCCCCGGUGUCGUUUCACAAACAGUCAGUCAAAUUCACAGUCAAGGCAGAUGAUAAGGCUUUUGUAAAAUUUUGAGGUGGAUGGCAAUGAUGAUGUCUCAGACUUCAGAAAAUACAACAUUAAAAGAAGCAAAAACCUUAUCAUGAAAUUCGUUUUCCGGCCCUGAAUAAUAAUCAACAGUCAUGGCAUUGUUGAUCAUCGAAAGCCACCGUUAAGAUAAGAAAUGCGUAAUUUCAAGGAAAUAGAUUGCAGUCAAUCCAAGAGGUGGCAAGAAAAAGAGACCCAUCCAGUCAAAUUUUGCUUCCUUCCAGCUCCUUCCUGAAUAAUAAUAUAUUUUUUAAUAUUUAUAUGUAUUAAUGUUAAAAAUAAUUUUAAAAAAAUAAAAAAUAUUAUAUUUUUUUUAAUAAGAAAAACAAGAACUCCCUAUUACACUUACAGAAGAAACAUUCCAUGUAUUCAAUCCAAGUGUUUGCGCGUGUCGAGGACUUUUUUUGCCUCUCAAUAAUUAGUGUUAUUUGUAUUAUAACUUUUUUAAUAUUUCAAAUGGAUGAGCUUUUCCCUUGACUUGGCGUAUUAGCAGCUUUAGGAUCUUUUGUUAUUUUCUCUUCCUUUUUUAUUAUAUAUUUUCUUCACACAGUAUAUCGGCCUGCGAUUCACAUAUUCAGUUAAUAUUAAUCUUUUUAAAAUUAAAAUAGCAGAAGAACUUAUUAGAAAAUCUGUUUAAUAUUGUGGUAAUUAUUUUUUAAAAAAUAUUUUUUAAAAAAAAAAUACAUUAUAUUAAAAUAAUAUAUUUUUAUUUUUAAAAUUUUAUUUUUGACAUUAACACAUCAAAAUAAUAUAAAAAUAAAAAAUAAUAAUUUAAAAUAAAAAAAAUAAAAAAACUCAAAUCCAAAUAUUUUCUUACUACAUUACAGAUGGUUCACAUUUUCCUAGAAAUUUUCAUUAACCACAAAAAGCUUCAUGUCUUGUUAUUAUUAUUAUUAUUUUGUAAUUUGGUAGGGAAGGGCUUCAAGCCUUCCAUCCAAGUGUUUGCGCGUAAACUUUGUUGAGUUUCACAUUAUAUUAUAAUGGUAAAAAAAAACAAUUAUAUAUGAGUGUCCUCUCCCCUGAAACUAAGGUAGACAUCAUAAUUAAUUCCCUGUGGCUGGGCGGUGGUUAUGGUGGAAGGAGUAGAUGGGGAUGGAGAAAUAUGACGGAUUCGUAUGAUGAAUCUCCAGAUAUAAGCAAACAAAAAGAUAGAGAGAAACAAGAAAAACAUCGCCAUUGUUUUGUGGAGAAACAGUCGAAGAAACAAGAGUAAUUAGACUCUGGUGGUAAGGUAGGUCUGGAGGGAGAGAACGGAAGGAACUCAAGGAAAAAAGAUGAGGCUGAUUUUGAAUGAGUAGCUUAGGCUUUACGUGUUUAAGAACCUGCCUUAGGCAUAUGUAUAAUUUAUAAUAAUCAAAUCCAAGAAUUUUCUUAGAACAUUACAAGAUUGCACAUUGUUGAUUUCCUAAAAAAGAUUAGGCAUGUGAUAGAAAAAGGCAUUUAUAUGUUGUUUUGUUUUUAUGGUAUUCCCAGUGUUUUCAUAAAUUCUGAAUUUAAAAAUAAUAAAUUUUUUUAGUUUUUUUAUUAUUUAAUUUACUGGUAUAAAAAUAAUUUUUAAAAAUUAUAAGCUUAUAUAAAUUCUUGUUUAUCAUAUCACAGCUGUGAUAGAUAACUUUUUAAAUAUUUCAAAUGUAUUAGGUCUUCACUUGGCGGAGUAGCAUAUCUUUUGUUAUUUUCUCUUCGACUUUUUUAUUAUAUAUUUUUUAAAAACACUAAACACUUAUGUAUCUUCGGUCCAAGUAUUUUCCUUCCAGAGAUUUUUUUUUUUGCCUUCAUAUUAUAUUAUAAUGGUUAUGAUGAUUUAAUUAAAAAGAACCUGAUAGAAAGUCUGUUUGAUAAUGUACUUGAUUGUUUUUAAAAUAUUAGAAUUACAUUAAAAUAUUAGAAAUACUUGGUUGUUUUGUAAAAAAUUUUUAAUUAGAAAUAUAUUAAAAUAAUAUUUUUUUAUUUUUUAAAAUUUAUUUUUGAUAUUAGAAAAUUAAAAUAAUAUAAUUAAAAUAUAAAAAAAUUAAUUUAAAAUAAACAAAAAAAAUUCAAAUUCAAGCAUUUUCUCAUAGCAUUACAAAAAGUGCACAAUGUUAGAGAACCUGUUUGGUAUAGUGAUAAUAGUUAUUUUUUAAAAUAAUUUUUAUUUAAAAAUAUAUUAAAAUAUUUUUUUAUUUUUUAAAAUUUAUUUUUGAUAUUAGUAUAUUAAAAUAAUAUAAUAAUAUAAAAAUUAAUUUAAAAUAAAAAAAAUCAAAUCCAUGUAUUUUCUCGAACGUUACAAAGGGUGCAAAUCUACUUGGAAAUGUGUAAAGGAUUAAUGUCUUUUCCUUUUUAGAUGUCUUUUCCUUUUUCCGCGUUCCCAAACAGUGUCCCGCAGAUGCCUUUUCCUUUUGCCUUUUUUUAUCGGCAGAUGCCUUUUCCUUUUUAGAUAUUCUUAAAACAAAGUUCUUAAAACUAACAUUUUCAUAACAGGAAAAAGGAAAAGGAAAAGGCAUCUGUGUGUGUAAUUUCAAGGAAAAAAGAAAAAGGAAACACGUAAUUUAAAGGAUUGGCCCAUACCCCGUCCCUUCCUCUCUCCUUCAAGACGACUUGUGUACAGUGAUAAAAGUUAAAGGAAAAAGGAAAAGGCAUUUGCUAGAUUUUUGAGCGUAGAAAAAAUAAUGGACAGAUAGUUAUUUUUUACCAGGUGGAUCCAUCCCAUGUAAGACAUAAAACAGGAAGCUUUGGAGAUGCAUUUGCUAGAUUGAUUAAGAAGAAAGCUCUGACGUUGGAAGAAGUGCAGAGCUUCAGAGACGCUUUGACGGAUGCAGCCAAUCUAUCUGGAUCGAGCUUAGGGAAGUCUGAGUAAGCUCUUGAAGAAUAGUAGCCGUAAUUUAAGCAUGGGGAAAUUAUUUAUUUCCUCCAAUGUUCAAUUGUUUAUGUUCCAAAAACACCGACGGCCGGUGAUCCCUUCAAAAGGAAAAAGGAAAAGGCAUCUGCCAAUUAGCUGGAAGGAAGCAUGUAAAAAGAAGAAUUUAUUAUAAUUACAUGGCUGCAUGCCAAUUAUGUUGCCAAAAGCAGUAAACAGAACCACGAUUGUGAUUUUCAAUCGCUUUUAUAUUAAAAUCGUAGUUUAAAAUAGCAGUUUUUUUAAAACUAUUUUUUUUUAUAAAAAAAAAUCAAACCAUAUUAUAUAUUUCUCUAACUGUAUCAAUUUGUUUUUUAAAAAAAUUCCUAUUAUUAGGGCAGAGUAACAACUAACAAGUUUUUCUCUAACUUUAUCAAUCAUUAAAAUAUAAUGUGAAGUCAACAAGGUAGUAGUACGUGCAAACACUUAAUUUUUUACUGGGUUAGAUCCGGUUCAAUAUAUUUAUUUUUAGAUUGGAUUUGGUUUGGUCGGAAUAGUAGAGACAUGUUCUACUGUUCAUCAUUUUGCUGCUUUCAGUAAUCCUGCGUUUUCAACGCAGAUACUGAUAGGGGCCAUAAAAAGUAAAUUGAGUUUUAUUAAAAAAUAAAAUUAAACCAUAUAUUUCUCUAAUUGUAUCAAUUUGUUUUUUAAAAAAAUUCCUAUUAUUAAGGCAAAGUAACAAAAAGAAAAAACAAAUAACAAGACAUUAAGCCUUUUUGUACACUGGAAAUACAUGGAUUUGAUUUUUUUUUAUUUUUAUAUCAUUUUAAUGUACUAAUAUCAAAAAUAAAUUUUAAAAUCAUUUUGAAAAACAAAUGUUACCACAAUACCAAAUAGGUUUUCUAACAACUUCUUCUUCGUCAAAUCAUCAUAAUCAUUAUAAUAUAAUGUAAAAGCAAAAAAGUCUUUGGCACAUGCAAACACUUGGACUAAAGAUAUAGAAGGUGUUUGCGAGUGUGGUAAUUGUAAGACCCAAACUUGUAGCCCAAACCCAAGCUCAAGUCAACUCAAACCCAACAUAAGUUAACCUAGGUAUAUAAGAAAAAGUUGCGAGAGAAUUAAUUUUCUCUCUUCUAAAUCUUGUGGCCAUCAUGACCCUCCUCUAAUCAAACUAAGGAUUUCAGUUUGUGAUCUUGAGUUUUGGGUUUAAAAAAAGUGGAAGUAGCAAGUGGUUUUCUCUCAUGUUACUUUCGAUUAUGGUUUGUUUAUGGAAAGAUUAAAAAAGAGAUUACGGUUUAUAAGGAUUUGAAGUUUGUUUUGUUAAGAUUAAUUCAUGAUUAUUAAUGGUUUAAUGUUAAGUGGUUGAUAUUGAGUAUGUUGUUAAAAAUAAAGUUUUAUGAGUUGAUUUGUUUAAAUUAAUUUUUUUAUGGGUUAAGAAAUCCAUUUCAACCUUGUUGGAAAAUCUAGACAGAAUGGUCUUAAGGUUGAAGAUUAAAAAACUUUAUUUUGGUACUUGAUUUAUAAAAAUUAUAAUUUAGUCCCUCAACUUUGAAAAAUUAUAAUUUGAUCCCUGAUAUGUCUUUUGAGAUUUUGGACAGUGUUAUUAUGAGGUUAAGGAUGAUGAAUCUCAGUUUGAUAAUUGAUUUGAAAUAUUUUUAGUUUGGUCCCUUAAUUUUGGAAAUUUACAUUUUAGUCCUUGAACUUUUAAAAAAUUAUAGUUUGGUCCCUGUGUCAUUCUGGACAAAAUUAAGGAUGGUUUAUGAGUGAAAUUUCAAUGUGGUUAUGUAUUUAUAGUUUGGUCUAGUUUUGGUAAAAUUACUUUUUAGUCCCUGUUUUGGAUAAUUGUCGCUUUAGUCCCUAAACCUAGAAGACUAAACCUGGUUUUCUUUUAUGCAUUGGAAUCUAUUAUUUGUGUUGUUUUGAGUUGCUUUUGAGUAUAUUUUCUAUAUUUGUUAUAGGCUCUCCUAAUGAUCCUCAAUAGAUUUUACAAGUCUUUCAUCUGAUAUUCCUUUUAAUCUAUAUUUUUCCGGGUAAGUGGAAUAAUCUUUAAUGCAUAUAAUAUAAAUAAAUAUGUAAGUUGAUUAUAUGAUGAGUACGACUAGUUAAUCUCUUGAAUACUUAUAUAUGUUGCUAUAUUUUUUGAGUACUCACUUAUUCUUGAAUUUGCACCCGCUUUUUGUCAAACUAAAUUCUAAUCAAUAUGAUAUAUAUUUCUUUGAUGAUUCUGUGAAUAUCUAUUAUGUCUUGAUAUAGAACUUGUCAAUAACUCCAUGCUAAUGGAGAGUAGUUAGCCUUCACUCAUCUUCAGGGACAUUGUAAGAAACAACUUGGUCGAUAAAUAGUCUGAUGGAGUGUGAGAAACCAAUAAUUAGAGAAACUUAAGGUUCAAUAAACCAAAUUUAGCAAUGACACAUGCAAAAUAGACAAAGGGGAUCCAUCUUAUUGGUCAAAUGCAAGCCAUUUUUAUGGAAUACAUUAAAGGAUCUGAGUACUUGCACAAUAUCAGAAAAGUGUGAAGUUCAUUUUGAACAUUAUCAGCUUAAAAAUCAACAUUUGUGUGUGUGAAAGAACCAUUGACCAAAGCACUAUAACAAAUAAGAGUAUACCUGACUGAGGCUAAUGAUGGCAAUAAAUUGUAAAUUAUAAGGUCUUCUCCCACUCUGAAAACCAAGUUCAUGAGAGAUGGAACAAUUUCUACAAUGUUGUUGUGCUUCUUUAUUAAUCAACCAAGCUGUACAUAUAGGUUUAAGAGAAACUAAUCAACACCUAAAUACAAGGAAGGAUAAGAUGAAGACUCAUAGUCUUAAAGAAGUUUGAACUGAAUGAUUUAAUCUUCAUUCUGAUAGUUCAAGCUUGGUUGGCAAGAAGAAUGUGAGGAAAGCAACGAAAAGGAAAAGAAAAAAAAAUAUAUAGAAAACAUGAAUUUAUAUCAUUGGUUCUAUAUGAUAAUAAAAAAGCUCAUAAAAUUAGUCACAACCCAAUACUAAGAUAUAUAUUUUAAUAGAGAAAAUGGCAGUGAAGAAGAAUAGCCCAGGAAAUGGCGGCGAAGAUUCGUUUAGCAAGACUGGGAUGCACAAACAUGGCAUUUUACAGAAUUGUUGCUACUAAUAGCCAUACUCCAAGAGAUGGCAAACACCUUCAAGUUGUUGGUUUCUACGACCCCUUAGCAGGUUCCCUCUUCUUCUCUUAUUAUUUUCAUAUACUCAGUUCACAUGAAGAUUUUUUUUUCUAAUUUUAAAGACCUGGACUUUGAAGGCUUAUUGGGUUUAUUUUCAGGUUCUCAUAUCAUCAAUGCAUGGUAUGUGUAGAUAGCUUUGUUGAUGGGGACACCGAACCAGAAACAUUGGUUACAUACGCGUAUGAUCAUAGACGAUGGAGGAUAGCCCAAACCAUUGAGAAAUUGGGCUUUAGCUUAUGUUUUUUGGUUUAAUUUAUAUGAACUUUUAGUUAAGAUUUAUUAAUUUGAUUUUAUUUGUUGGGUUUGAUUUCUUUAUUGUUAGGUAUUUUAUUUAGUGGGCCAUAAGCCCAAACGCUUGUUCUAGUUAGGGUUUGAUGUGAACCUCGUGAUCACGUGGUCACGCAACCCACAAUCAAGAUUGAGAUCUAAUCCCGGAAAAACGAAAUAGGUCUGAUAUGAGUGCGACAUAAUGGAAACCUGCCCCAAGGCACCAACACUAUUGGAAUGAGUAGAAUGACGUCACAAAGCCAGUUAAUCUUCGAUAAGUCAGAUUGAGUUCGUUCAAGAACUGAAGAGUGCAAGAAUCACUCUCACAUGUUAAAACUGAAAAAUUCAGAAUAAUAAUCAUCAAAGCUGCCGAAAUUUUGGCUUACAUGAGUUUAAAUAGUUCUUGAAAAGUUAACCCUAAUGGACCCCUUAUGUGGACUUAUAUGAGGUCCACUCAAAACUGGCCCAAAACCCUAAAAUGAAAAGCCCAUAACCAGAUCCAAACAAGCCUUGGGCUGUAGCUAACAAAAUAAAAUAAAGCCCCUAAUAUUAAAUCCAUGUUCUGCCAUGAGAAUAAUAGAAUGAACUAAAAUAAUAUAGAAUUGAUUGAAGGCUUAUUUAUAGCCUUCCAUGCAGCCCUUUAAUCCUAGAAACAAAAGGAAAAGGUAGCCACCAUGUUGUUUCCAAGUUGUAGUAGGAUUAUUUUGUUUCCUUUGCUGUCCUCAUCUCAUGGCCCAAAUAAGGUUGUAUUGGACCCCUCUUGCACAUGGAUAAGAUGUACUAGGAUCUCCUCUUGAUACUCCAAUGGACCUUCCAAUUCUGACUUGGUGGAAACCUUCAAAACCAAUGCAUUCAAUGCGUCGUUCAAUGUCUUUGUCUUGGACCGAGUCAUUGGUCCAUUUGGAACAUGUAAUGGGUCCUUGCUGGUGUUUCUGGGCUGGUCCGCAUCAGGGUUUUAGUAUUUAUAUCCUACUUUUCAAAAUCUUAAACAGUUUUUGAUGAUUAAUAAAAAUAUUGCAGACUUUGCAUAUCUCUAAUCCCUUUUAUUCUCUUCUUUAGCUUCUUUCUUUCUCUAAACCUUCUUUUUUUUCUUGCUUUAAUCCUUAUUAUUUAUUGUCCCGCGUCAAAUUUAGUAUCAGAGUCAGGGUUUUAAUUGUUUUUACAAUUAAACGAUCCACAAUAUUUAUGCUAAACCCUAGAUCCGAUUUGAUCUUUUAAAAAAAAUUGUUCACUAUUUAAAAAAAAAACCUACUGUUCUAAUUGAAAAAAAAGAAGAAGAGGGAAACAUUGUUCAUCUUCUCCCCCAGCAAACCGCCGCCGCACAGCACGCCACCUUCGCCAGAGGGCAGAUCGGGCAUCCCCAACAACCACCAAAACCCACGACAGCUCUCUAUAGCACCUAAGGCGAAAGAUUUUCCUACAGCAGGCCGCUCUCCACGCCACUUGUAGUCACACCGAUUUACUACCUCUAAAACUCCUACAGCACCUCAACUUCCACCAAUAGCAACAGAUUAGUGGGUUACAAUAAUUGUAGCCCACGCCACCGUCACCAACCAACCCAGACAAUAACCCACAUCCACAACAAGUCACUCACACAAGAAGUAGUAGAUCUUCAUCGACGACGGCUCAUCUACCAGCUCAUCCUCUCCCCGCCAUCAGUAAGUCAGACAUCUAGCCACUACUUCGCUCCACAAGAAACCCACAGAGCCACACUGAAUUGUUAUCUCCAAAAUAAAUUUGUCUUUAGCCUCUUGCACCAUCUAGCGGCACCAACAAUAGCAUCACCCUCACCGAUUCUUAGAUAAAUCGCACCCUCCAGCAGAAGCAGCACCCGCCGCAGUCACAACUGGUCCUUCAGACCUAUUGAUACAGCAACAGUCAUGCCUCGCCACCAGCAAAUGACAAAAAAAGACUCGGUAAUUGCAGAACAGAAGAAGGGAUUUGAGGCAAAAUAAUUAGACCUGCCAUGUCAUUAACCACGCCAACAUAUUUAGCCAUGUCAACAUAUUCAUCCUCGCCAUCAAUGAAGGAAACCAGGAAACCAAAGAAGGCUCUCGAUGCAAAAUUAAUUAAGCAAACUGACCACAUCAUCUACCAUGUCAGCAGUCAAUUCCUCUAGUUUGCCACGUUAGCUCUAAAAAAUUCUAUCUUCCUCCCAGCACUCUAGUUAGUGAAUCACUCUCCCAUGUUAUUUGUUGAAGUUUAUUUUUUUUAUUUUUCACUUGUCAUUUAAAGUUAUUAUUAAUAUUACUUUUGUGCCUAGAAAAUUCUCAAAAAAAAAAAUUCUCACCUUACUUUUUAUUCGUUAAUUUGCUCAUUAACCUUUUUUUAUCAUUAAUAUCUAUUAUAUUGUCCUCUUUAAUAAUUGUGAGUCUUUGCCUUGACAUUGUAUUUGAUUAAUCAUUUACACUUGAGGGUUAAGCAUUACAUGCUUAUAAUCUUAUUGGUGUAAUUUGUUCUUGAUUAAUCUCCACAUUAAAAAAAUAAAAAAAAGAUAGGAUUAGCUUUAUUUUUGUAUUGUGACUUCACUUGCAAGAACCAUUUGUGAUCUCAAUUUCAUUUCUAAGUGAGUGUUGCAUGCUUUUGUGUCAUGAUCAUCUAGUGUUCAAGCUAACACUAUUGUAGACUCGACUAUUAGUGAUACUCUUAUGACCAUUUAAAGGGAACUGCAAACUUAGGUGAUCACCAUAUUUAAAAGAAUUGAGCCCCAAGAAAGUUUUAGAAUAAGGCACUCAAAGACCAAUAAAUAUCACAAGAAUAAUCAUUGUGGACAAGUUCACUCUGAGCGCCACCAGUAUGACUAUCAUUUAGGUUACUCUAAACACGAUGACUUUGAUGAGCUAGUCUUGAGUCCUAACAAAAUAGAAGCCCCCACUUUUGACGGUUGUCAUGACCUUUGGAUAUUUGAUAUGUGGAUUCGUGAUAUGGAUUGAUUCUUUGAGUGGCAUAACUUGUAUGAUAAUAAAAAAGUUAGAUUUGCUGAGAUGAAGCUUAUUGGUGAAACCAAAACUUAUUGGAGAGAAGUUGAAGAUUGUUUAGAGAUGAGAGGUAAACCUCCUAUAACUGAUUGGAUCAAAAAGAAACAAAACCUUCAAGAGAAGUACCUACCCCAGUCUUAUAGGAAUAAACUCUUAAGCCAAUGGAACAAUCUAAGACAAGGGAAUAAGUCUAUCAAUGAGUAUAUAACACAGUUUAAUGAUUACAUGAUGGGAUGAGCCAUAAGAGACAAUGAAGCCAUGACUUUGCGUAGAUUUUUUAAAGGCUUGAAAGAUGAUCUUAGAAGAGAAGUUAUAUUUCAAGGUGUAUCUACCCUUGACCAAGCUUAUACCUUAGUUAAAAACUACAAGUUGGUCACAAAGAAUCAAUGGAAGAAUCAGCAGGACUCUUAUAGUAUCCCUAUUAGGUCCCAAUUCAGAAGUAGUGAUUCUUUGUUAGGUGCUCCACCCCACAGACCUAAUCUUAGUAACUCCCAACUUUAUAAAAAAAGAUAAAGGCAAACGAGUUUUUAAUGAAUUGUCUAAGGUGAGUUCAAUGGUUAAGUAGCACUAAUUGUCUAGGUUUUGGUCAUAUCUAUUUAAAUUGUAGCUCUAAACCUUUAGCCAUCCAAAAAUAUAAGGAUAUAUGUAAAGAGGAAUAUUGUAGUGUGAUUAGUACUUAAAAGUGCAUAUUUAUCAAGGUUUUAUAGCAUCAUUUUGCACUUAAAGUAUCAAUAACUCCUUAACUAAAGCAUGGUUUAUAAUAAUAAGUCUAAUACUUAAAAUACCUUAAUAUAUGGUAAAUGUUCAUCUUAAAUGCAGGCAUAUCACAUAAAUCAAAGGAUUGAUUGAUGAAUUCAACUACUGAAAUUUGUGAAGAUAAGGAGAGGGUGAAAUUUAGAAAAGAGAUGUUGGUGCAGUUCAAACUGAAAUACUAUUCGGUAAUUGGGUCAUAUCUAGAGUUCUAUAUGUCCAAAUGAUAUCAUAUUUUUAAAAAGAUUCAGUAAGAGAUAGGCCUACAACUUUCAUGUUUUCAUCAAGAUCUAAGAAGGCCGUUUUCAAGUCCAAAUGAUAGCAACAACGGAGAAGUCCGAAUCUGUCCUGCAGCUCUAACACUGUUUAGUGUUUGGCCCAUAACUGGCGUUCUAGAAGUCCAAAUGACCUCCAUUUUUUUUCCUGGAAAUUUGAGUCAAUUUCCUACAACUUUCAUGUUUUCUAGUGGACCCAGUUCGGAAGCUAGCAUUUUUGUUUUAUUCAGACAAGAAGAUAAGGAUUUUCACCAAGUCAAAAGUUGGCCACCCACUCAACAAUUAGUUAUCAAAUCAAUAAUUCCGAAUUUUGGCCUAUAAAAGGAGGCAUUUGCCAUGUAUUCUGGGGCUUGGUUGUUCAGAUCAAGCUCAUGCUCUUUAUUUCUCUCUUUAUAUUUUUUUGUAAUUUUUAAGUUUUGCUUUCAUUAAUAUCUUGUUUAUGCUUUUCAUUUCUUUUCCUUUACUUAGUUAACUUGUAUUUUCUUUAUGUUCUUGUUUUGUUUAUUUAUGUUUCUCUUCUUCAUUAUGUUUAGCUAAGUUUAUUAUGUCAAGGUGAAAAGGUUACACUAAUGGUGUAAGAAUAAAUAUAGUGUAAACUCAACAUGGAUCUUAAUGUUUAAUAUUAACAUGUCUUAUCUUUUUAUCUUACUAAUUCUUAAUACCUUGCUUGUUAAAUGGUUAAUCUAGAUUUGUGUUGUAUAACACUUGGUACAGCAAAUGCUUGGCACUCUCAUAGCCCAACAGUAUGGUAUUACCUACACCUGGGCUAUGAAAGGAACUUGAUUUGUUGUUAACAUCAGUUAAUAUCAUGAAUCCUGACAAUAUUUAAAAGUGUGGUGUUAUGUAAUAAGAUAAUUAAUAUGAUCAUGUUAAAAUUUAUAAUGAGCUAUUAAUGAGAAAUCAUCCGAUUGGAACCUCCUUUUUAUGUGUGGUUUCCAUUGAGUAAUAAGAGUUUAUACUAUACUUGUUUGAAAUACCAUUGGUGGAUCCUCUAACCUUGACAUUUGUUUUUAUCAUUGUUUAAUCCUUACUUAAUCUUUAUCUCAAAGUUCUCAUUAAUUUCUUCUCUCUUAUUAUUAUUAUUAUUAUUAUUUACAUUCUGUUUAUAUUAUAUAAUAUAUAUCUUUGAUCUUUUCAUAAACUCAGUAUAUAGGCUGGAAACCUGUGACCCGAUCUUUUAGAUCAUUCUCAGGUAUAACAACGCCACGUACUGAGUAUUAUUAUUAUUUUAUUGUUGUUGUUGUUGUUGUCUUGUUAUUUAUAAUUUAUACAAUUAACCUCUCUGUGGUUCGACCCCGGUCUUGCCGGGUUAUUUAUUACUUCGACACUCCUGCACUUGGGAGAAGACAUCAAGCUUUUGGUCGUGUCAAGUUUUUGGCGCCGUUGCCGGGGAGGUAAAUUCUUGUAUAAAUUAUAAUAUUUAUUUAUUUUUCUACUUUUCAUUUUUUUCUUUUGUUUUGUUUCUUUUUUUUUUUCUUUUCUUUCUUCCUUUUCUUCUCUUUCUACACGUGCAUGAGAGUUUGGUCACGUACAUUAAAUGAUAACUUUGUAAAUACUCAUCUUUAGAAAACAUGGCCGAAGAAGAGGAUAAUCAAUCGCUUUAUAAUGAGAAUAAUCGGGUUAGAACACUUAGAGACUACAUGAAUCCACAAGAACAAUUGCGCGAUCAUGUAUAUUUUUUCCUCCUGAUGCAUCUCAUUUUAAUUUUAAGCCAGGCAUUAUUCAACUUUUACCUUCUUUUCAUGGCUUAGAUCUAGAAAAUCCAUACUUGCAUUUGAGAGAAUUUGAGGAAGUUUGUAACACUUAUAAUGACUCAAAUUGUAGCAUGAACACCAUUAGAUUAAAGCUUUUUCCUUUUUCUUUAAAAGAUAAAGCUAAAACAUGGCUACAAAAUUUGAGACCAGGAUCCAUUCGUGCUUGGGAUGAAUUGCAACAACAAUUUUUAAAGAAGUUUUUUCCAUCUCACAGAACAAACUCUUUCAAAAGACAAAUCACCACUUUCACUCAAAAACCAGGAGAAACAUUUUACCAAUGUUGGGAUAGGUAUCGAGACUUGAUUAAUACUUGCCCUCAUCAUGGUUUUGAAACAUGGAGAUUGGUUUCACAUUUUUAUAAAGGAUUAACACCUAAAGAUAGGCAAAUGGUGGAAUUGAUGUGCAAUGGAACUUUUGAAGAUAAAGACCCUAAUGAAGCAAUGGAGUACCUAGACUUGCUAGCUGAAAAUGCUCAAAAUUGGGACACAAUUUGAGGCACAGUAAAACUCAACCUCAUACAUCUAGUGGAGGUAUGUACAACCUUAGGGAAGAUCAUGACCUCCAAGCCAAUUUGCAUCUUUAGCUAGAAAAGUCGAGGCACUAGAAUUAAAAAGAGUGGUCAAUUAAAAUCUGUUCAAGACAUUGUGUGUCAAAUCUGUGAAACAAAUGAACAUGCAACCAAUGAUUGUCCAACUUUGCCUUCUUUCAAGGAAUGCCUCCAUGAACAAGCCCAUGCUUUAAACAGUUUCCAAAGGCCCAACCAUACUCGCAAACAUACAAUCCUGGUUGGAGAAAUCACCCAAAUUUUAGUUGGAAGAGUGAUAACAAUAAUGCACAAACUUCACAGCCAUCGUUUCAAGCACACCAUAAUUUCCAAAAUUCUCAUGGAUAUGCACCUCCUUAUGCUCCACCUCUAGAAGAAAUCUUGAGGAAACAUUGCAUUCAUUCAUUGAAAAGCAAGAGAUAAUCAACACUCAACUUGCUCAAAGCAUGACAGGUUUUAAAGAUACUCUUGCAAAGUUAACAUCUGCUCUCAGUUUUCAAGAGAACGGUAAGUUUCCAUCUCAACCACAGCAAAAUCCAAAGGAGAAAUACAAUGUAAAUGCAAGUAGUUCAGAAGUCAACACAUGGAUCAAGUCAAAUCAGACAUCACUCUUCAGUGGUAAGGUUAUUGAAAAACCAUUCUUGAACCUUGUGAGAAAGAUGAUGAGUCAAUCUCUGAGGGUAAGGAAGGGGUUGAAUCUGAACAUUGCAAAGAAAAGACUGAUUUCCCACCAGCACUUCCAUUUCCUCAUGCCAUGACCAAACAGGAAGCAAUCGAUGAUGAAAAAGGCACCGAAAAUGUUGUCGCGGAUCAUUUGUCAAAGUUGACAAUAGAUUCGACAUCCGACAUCACACCAAUCAAUGAUUACUUUCCUGAUGAAUCUUUACUUUCUCUUAGUUCAAUGCCUUGGUUUGCUAAAAAUAACAAUUUUCUUGCUUCAGGAUUUUUGACAGCUCAUUUGGAUAACCAAGAUAAAAGAAAGUUUUUGAGCGACGUGCAAAACCUUUAUUGGGAUGACCCUUACUUAUUCAAAUAUUGUCCUGAUCAAAUAUUUCAAAGAUGCAUUCCUGACAAUGAGGUAAGUAGUGUCAUUAAAUUUUGUCACUCUGAAGCAUGUGGGGAUCAUUUCUCGUCAAAAAAGACGACUGCAAAAAUCUUACAAAGUGAAUUUUACUGGCCCACCAUGUUCAAGGACUCAUAUGCAUUCUGCAAAACCUGUGAAAAUUAUCAAAAGGUGGGAUUUAUUUCAAAACAUAGAGAGUCUUUAGAUAAUCUUCCAUUGACUCUUAAGUCUCAUCACAGUGGAGAUGUGCAUAGUGCAAUACAUGAUUUAUGGCCCUAUUUUCAUAAAGAACAUGCUCAUCAUAGUCUUGGGAAUCUGACUAAAAAAAAGACAUUUUUUGCUAGUUUUUUAAAAAAACUGGAUGGGAAGCCUAUCCCCGACCCAUAGAGGGCGUUUAAGCCGUUUUUAGACGUAAAACCAAGGAAAGCUGUGAGCCACAAUCACAACUACCUGUACAUACACAUGCUUUUUCAAAAUAAAUAAAUAAAUAAAUAAAGAGAGAGAGUGUGUGAGACUACGACUGGCCUACAUAUAGGUGGUGUGAUUGCAUUUUCAAUUUCUCAUUUAUAAAUAUUUGCGUCUUUUGGUUUUAUUAUUGUGUUUUGUUGUUUCUUAUAUUUGUUUAAGUGUGUUUCAGGUUUGUUAGUGUUUGCUAUUUCAGGUGAUGUCUUCUAUACUCUAUCUUUCUACCUUAAGACAUUGAGGACAAUGUCUUAUUUUGGUUGGGGGGAAAGGGUAGUAGUUGAUAAUUAAAAAAAAAAAUUGUGUUUUCUAUUUCAUAAACUAUUUGCAAAACUGUUGUUACUAGGAUGGCAGAGUAAAAGGAGUUCUUUUGUUAAAGUGACUCUUGAGACGCAUCUUAGUAAACAUUCUUAACAGGUCUAUCAGAAUACUUCUUGAAAUAUUCAGGUUUACAAACUCUCGUAUUGGUAGCACUUGAUUCUGCUCAUAUGCUCAUUUAACAAGUAUUUUUAAAUCUUCAUUUUCACACACACACUUUAACAUAUGAUUGUGGGUUGCACAUUGGAUUAUUACAUUAUUUAUGUUCUUUUGUUAAAGGUAACAACUAAGGGAAAGGGAUAGUACAUAAUUUGCAAAAAAAAAAAAUGAUAAUAAAAAGGUAGAUAAGUUUGGUUUCGUAGCCUCCCUAACCUAAGCAAUUAAGCCCGAAGGGGUGUUUUAACACUUAAUACCCUAAAGUCAACUGACUUGGGAGCUAUUGGCCCAACGCUUGUUACAUGGGUUGAGGAGAAAAGCUUAAGGGAAUCAAACAUUGCACUAUCUACGUAUCAGUAUCUGCAACCCGAGUUGCUAAGCUCGUAGGGGUGUCUCAACACCUAAUGCCCUAAGACCAACUGGUCUGGGAGUCAUUAGCCUAAAACUCGUUACAUGGGUUAAAGACAUUGUGUUUCAAGUUUAUGUGUAUAUAAAUAAAUAAAUAAAAUAAAAAAAAUAAUAAUCCAACCAAGGAAGUUACCUUAAACAUUAGAACAAAAAUUUGUUUUUCUUCCAAGUAAAGCCCCAUAACUAUAUGUUGAUAUUUUGAGCAAAAAGAAAGGUUUAGUAAUAUCUUGUUUAAGAGGUAUUGAGCAGAUAUAUGAAUUUAAUGAGAGUUUGUUUAUCUGGAUAAUUAAAGUAAGUUGAAUGAUGAAUGCCUUGCUUUAUGGAAUUUGCAAAUUGUUUUUCUAUUUUAACGCUUUGAUUACUAGGGACUAGUAAUAAGCUGGUUGGGGGGUGUGAUUAGUACUUAAAAGUUAUUUAUCAAGGUUUUAUAUCAUCAUUUUGCACUUAAAGUAUCAAUAACUCCUUAACUAAAGCAUGUUUUAUAAUAACAAGUCUAAUACUAUAAAAUUAAUAUAUGGUAAAUGUUCAUCUUAAAUGCAUAUCACAUAAAUCAAAGGAUUGAUUGAUGAAUUCAACUACUGAAAUUUUGAAGAUAAAGAGAGGGUGAAACUUAGAAAAGAGAUGUUGGUGCAGUCCAAACUGGAACACUGUUCGGUAAUUGGGUCAUAUCUCGAGUUCUAGAUGUCCAAAUGAUUAUUUUACAAGAUUCAGUAAGACAUAGGCCUACAACUUUCAUGUUUUCAUCAAGAUCUAAGAAGGCCGUUUUCAAGUCCAAAUUAUAGCAACAACGGAGAAGUUGAAUCUGUCCUGCAGCCCAACACUGUUUCAUAUUGGAGUUCUAGAAGUCCAAAUGACCUCCAUUUUUUUUCCUGGAAAUGAGUCAAUUUCCUACAACUUUCAUGUUUCAAGUGGACCCAGUUCGGAUGCUAGCAUUUUUGUUUUAUUCAGACAAGAAGAUAAGGAUUUUCACCAAGUCAAAAGUUGGCCACCCACUCAACAAUUAGUCAUCAAAUCAAUAAUUCCGAAUUUUGGCCUAUAAAAGGAGGCAUUUGCCAUGUAUUUGGGGCUUGGUUGUUCAGAUCAAGCUCAUGCUCUUUAUUCUUUCUCUUUAUAUUUUUUGUAAUUUUAAGUUUUGCUUUCAUUAAUAUCUUGUUUAUGCUUUUCAUUUCCUUUCCUUUACUUAGUUAACUUGUAUUCUUUAUGUUCUUGUUUUGUUUAUUUAUGUUUCUCUUCUUCAUUAUGUUUAGCUAAGUUUAUUAUGUCAAGGUGAAAAGGUUACACUAAUGGUGUAAGAAUAAAUAUAGUGUAAACUCAACAUGGAUCUUAAUGUUUAAUAUUAACAUGUCUUAUCUUUUUAUCUUACUAAUUCUUAAUACCUUGCUUGUUAAAUGGUUAAUCUAGAUUUGUGUUGUAUAACACUUGGUACCAAAUGCUUGGCACUCUCAUAGCCCAACGUAUGGUAUUACCUACACCUGGGCUAUGAAAGGAACUUGAUUUGUUGUUAACAUCAGUUAAUAUCAUGAAUUCCUGACAAUAUUUAAAAGUUUGGUGUUAUGUAAAUAAGAUAAUUAAUAUGAUCAUGUUAAUAAUUUAUAAUGAGCUAUUAAUGAGAAUCAUCACCGAUUGGAACCUCCUUUGUGUGUGGUUUCCAAAUUGAGUAAUAAGAGUUUAUACUAUACUUGUUUGAAAUACUAUUGGUGGAUCCUCUAACCUUGACAUUUGUUUUUAUCAUUGUUUAAUCCUUACAUUAAUCUUCCAUCUCAAAGUUCUCAUUAAUUUCUUCCUCCUCUUAUUAUUAUUAUUAUUAUUUACAUUCUAUUUAUAUUAUAUAAUUUAUCUCUUUGAUCUUUUCAUAAACUCAGUAUAUAGGCUGGAAACCUGUGACCCGAUCUUUUAGAUCAUUCUCAAGUAUAACAACGCCACAUACUGAGUAUUAUUAUUAUUGUUAUUGUUAUUAUUGUUGUUGUUGUUGUUGUCUUGUUAUUUAUAAUUUAUACAAUUAAUCUCUCUGUGGUUCGACCCCGGUCUUGCCGGGUUAUUUAUUACUUCGACACUCCUACACUUGGGAGAAGACAUCAAUCUUUUUGUCGUGUCAUAGUGUUGAAAUGUAUGAGCCUAAUCUUGAGGAUUUUAGUGACCUAGAUGACAAGGGUGUGCAAGAAGAGAUACUUAAUAUAAUGAGUCCACGUGAGCUUGAGAAUGAUGUUAGGGAAGUGUCUGAUAAAUCUGCUUUAAUGGUAGAGGAAGUUUUAGGGAACUCUUUAGUGGAAUCGCCUAUAGAGAUAAAUAUGGUCUUAGAAGAGUCUCAUGAUAUUAGUUCUCCUAAACUACCUGAUUCCUCACCCCACAUGAUUGAUGUCCAGCACAUCAUAAGUUUAGAACAACAUGUUGAGCUUUCUGACCCCUUACCUCAUGCACAUGAUAAAGAAGAUGAAGAUAAUCUCAGUUUACUUGAUUGUGUCCAUACCAUGUCUACACAUGUUUCAAACAAUGUUUGUCUCAUUCCACACCCUCGAUCAUUUAAUAUUCAUAGUUAUAAACCCUGAGAAGCCUAUAGAACACCUUCCCAUAUCUUCUCAUGAUAAGAUGUCCAAGUCAAUUGAGUCGUUACCAUGCGGAGUUCAUAAUUUGCAUGUUGAGAUCAUGAAUCAAAUUCAAGCAAGUAAUGAAUAAUAUAAAUUUUGAGCUGAUUUACUUAAGUAUCAUGAUGCAUUUAAUGUUGGAGAUUAUUUCAUGAUACAGAUUAGACCUAAACGGUGUCCUUUGAAAACCGAUCAUAGAUUGCAAGUAAGUAGUGCUAGACCAUUCAAAGUGUUACAAAUGAUUGAAUCAAAUAAUUAUGUCAUUAAAUUGCCAUUAAACUUUGAUAUUAACUCUACUUUUAACAUGAAUGACUUCAUUAUUUAUAAAAUACAACAUAUCCUUGUUGCUCCUUUUGAUACCCCUACCUCAUUAUCCAUAUCUUUGGCACAAAGGGAACAUAUUAAUGUUACUUUGAAUGCACAGGUUGUUUUUACCAGGGAUAAUGAACUUCAACAAAUCCCAGUAUAUGGGCUCGACAACCAGAUUCAGACUAUACUUGGAUUAUCAAAGAGACAUCAUAACAACUUGAUCCUUAUCUUUGAGAGCAUUAUCGGAGCUACCUUGAUCCUAUACUCGAUAGGGUCAAGUUCUUCCAACCUAAGAGAAUUGAUAAGGACACCAAACCGGAAACAUUGGUUACGCACGCGUAUGAUCAUAGACGAUGGAGAAUAGCCCAAACUAUUGAGAAAUUAGGCUUUAACUUAUGUUUUUGGGUUUAAUUUAUAUGAAUUUUUAGUUAAGAUUUAUUAAUUUGGUUUUAUUUAUUGGGUUUAAUUUAAUUAUUGUUGGGUAUUUUACUUAGUGGACCAUAAGUCUAAACGCUUGUUUUAGUUAGGGUUUUAGUAUUUAUAUCUUACUUUUCUAAAUAUUAGAUAAUUUUUUAUGAUUAAUAAAAAUAUUGUAAACUUUGUAUAUCUUCAAUCCAUUUUCUUCUCUUCUUUAAUUUCUUUCUUUCUCUAAAGCUUCUCUCUUUUCUUGCUUUAAUCCUUAUUAUUUAUUGUCCCGUGUCAUUUGUUACUCAAGACUUAAACUCUGUGGGAUAAUGCAUUUGUAAUUUUAUUUUCUUAUGUAUAUGUAGUUUAAUAUGACCAUUGAUAGCUCUGAUUGUUCAUAGUUCAUUUUGUCAUCAGUUAAAGUCUCAAAAAUAUGUUCAUAGUUCAUAGUUCAUAGUUCAUAGUUUUAGUAGUUUUGUGGGUUAAUUUUCAUGUAUUUAAUUUAAAUCUAGUCCAAACCAAGGUCACUGGAUCAAGGUUUUAAGAAAGAGUAUUUCUUUCCUCUUUCGUUUUUCCGCUCAAGGUUGGAUGGAGGCCAGAAAUGAGAUGCAAGCUCACAUCAUGAAAAUGGGUCAAAAUUCAAAAACAUUCUAUCAAGUUGCCUAAGCCUGGGCCAAUCCUGUUCUUGAUGCUCGGGCAAUAAUAGUCAUAUUGAUGGGGACGACGACUUGACCUUUAAGUCUUCCUUGAAAUUACGUGUUUCCUUUUUCCUUAUAUAUAUAUAUGUAUGUAUGUAUGUAUGUAUGUAUAAAAGGAAAAAGGAAAAGGCAUCUAUGUAAAAGGCAUCUAUGUAAAAGGCAUCUGUGUGUGUGUAAAGGAAAAAGGAAAAGAGAAGUGUUUAGUGAAAACAAAGACAAGAAAUUCGAAAUUUCCAGGAAAAUUAUAAAAGAAUUUGAAGUAAAAAAUUAAUAGACUAAAGAAUGAUGUUGGACAGAAGUGUUUAGUGUUUUAAAAAAAUAUAUAAUAAAAAAGUUAAAGAGAAAAUAACAAGAAUAUAUAAUAAAAAGUGUUUAGUGCUUUUGAUUUUUAAAAAUUAUUUUUAUAUCAGUAAAUUAAAAAAAAAAACUAAAAAAAUUCAAAAUUUACAAAAACGAAUUUCCAGGAAAUCAACAAUGUGCAAUCUUGUAAUGUUCUAAGAAAAUUCUUGGAUUUGAUGCCUAUAAAUUAUACAUAUGCCUAAGGCAGGGUCUUAAACACGUAAAGCCUAAGCUAUUGCUUCAAAAUCAGCCUCAUCUUUUUUCCUUGAGUUACUUCCGCUCUCUCCCUCCAUGCCUACCUUACCACCAGAGUCUAAUUACUCUUGUUUCUUCGACUGUUUCUCCACAAAACAAUAUGAUGUCUCCAUCACCAUCUACUCCUUCCACCUUAACCACCGCCCAGCCACAAGGAAUUAAACAUGAUGUCUUCCUUAGUUUCAGCGAACAAGACACUCUUGCUGGUUUUACCAGCCACCUCCAUGCUGCUUUGAAACGGAAACAAAUCCUAACUUUCGUAGAUGAUCAGCAUGUGAGAGGAGAUGAGAUUUCGGCAUCACUUCUGAGAACAAUUGAAGAGGCCAAGCUUUCUGUGAUUGUUUUUUCUGAAAACUAUGCAUCUUCCAAAUGGUGCUUGGAGGAGCUUGCAAAGAUUUUUGAGUGUAGAAAAAACAAUGGACAGAUAGUUAUUCCGGUAUUCUACAAGGUGGAUCCAUCCCAUGUAAGAAAUCAAACAGGAAGCUUUGGGGAUGCAUUUGCUAGACUUAUAAGGAAUAAAGCUCUGACGUUGGAAGAAGUGCAGAGCUUCAGAGACGCUUUGACGGAUGCAGCCAAUCUAUCUGGAUGUCCCUUAUUAGGGAAUUCUGAGUAAGCUCUUGAAAUAUAUCCCAUGAGAAAAUAUUCGUUCAUUUGUUGAGGAUUUGAAAUUUAAUUUAAAAUUAUUGAGAAAGAUGAGCUCUGUGAAUCCAUAUUUAUUUUAUUUGAUUUUAAAAACGUUGUAGCGAAACACUAUUACGUGGUUGGUUGUUCUGUGUAUUAAAAUGUUUUUUAAAAAAAAAUUAAUUUUUUUUAGUGUUUUUAAAUUAUUUUGAUAUGUUUAUAUUAAAAAAUAUUUUUAAAAAAUAAAAAAUAUAUAUAUUAUUUGUUGCGAAAUGUUUGUAUAGAUAUUAAGUGGUUAUUUGUUUUUGUGUUUUUAAACAAAAAAUAUAUAUUAAAAUUUUUAAAAAACAAUUUAGUGUUUUUAGAUUAUUUUGAUGUGUUUAUAUUAAAAAAAUAUUUUAAAAAGUAAAAAAAUAUUAUUUGUAGCGAAAUGUUUGUAUAUUAUUUGUUUUUGUGUUUUAAAAUAAUAUUGAUGGAGAUGAUACUAUAAGAUAAGAUGAUAUGAGAAAACAUUAUAUGCAUUUGCAUUUCCAGUUUCAAGGAUUGAUUAAUGAUGCUCAAUUACUCAUACGUGCCUGCACUAAGGAGUGAGUAUGUUUAUAUGUUUCUUCUUGUCCGGUCCAUUUUGACUAACAAUUAUGUGUCUUCUUCUUGUUUGUCAGGCUGGAGUCUGAAUUUAUUGAGAAAAUCGUUGGUGAUGUUUUGAAAAAAUUGCAUGCCAUGCCUUCAAGUCACACCAUGGCCGGUCUAUUUGGAAUUGAUGUUCGUGUUAGCGAAGUUGAGUCUUUGUUAGAUAUGGAGUCUCCAAAUGUUCUCAUUGUAGGGAUAUGGGGAAUGGGUGGUAUCGGUAAGACAACGAUUGCUGAAGCUGUGACCAACGAGGUUCGUUCUAGAUUUGAUCAAGGAAUCUUUGUUGCAAACUUUAGGCAACAAUCUGAUUUGCAAAAAGAUUUCUUCAGGCUGCUUGGCCAAGAAACUCUGAACACUAUGGGCUCCUUGAGUUUUCGAGAUUCUUUUGUGAGGGAUAGACUUCGUCGAAAAGGUUUUUAUUGUUCUGGAUGAUGUGGAUGAUUUAAUGCUUUUGGAAGAAUGGAAGAUUUGCUUGAUGGACGAAACAGUUCAUUUGGUCCGGGCAGUAAAGUUCUCAUAACAAGUAGGGACAAGCAAGUGCUUAUAAUGUAGUUGAUGAGACAUACGAGGUUGAGGGGUUGAACGAUGAAGAAGCUAUUCAACUCUUUAGCUCAAAGCCUUGAAGAAUUGCAUCCCCACAAUUGAUCAAAGAGACUUGAUAGAAAGAUUGCAAGGCAUGUACAAGGCAAUCCGUUGGCUCUUAAGUUUUGGGUUCCUCUCUCUAUGGUAAAAGCAUCGAAGAAUGGCGCAGUGCAUUGAAUAAACUAGCUCAGCACCCUCAAAUCGAAAGGGCGUUGAGAAUUAGUUACGAUGGGUUGGAUUCAGAACAAAAAUCCAUAUUUCUUGACAUAGCACAUUUCUUCAAGGAUGGGGCAGACAAAGCAACAAGAAUAUUAGAUGGCUUUAUGGUCGGUCUGUGAGUUCGAUAUAAGCACGCUCAUUGAUAAGUGUCUCAUAACUACUGUAAUGAAUGUACGAGCUAGAAAUGCAUGAUUUACUACAAGAAAUGGCAUUUAACAUUGUUCGUGCAGAAUCUGAUUUUCCUGGCGAACGUAGCAGGUUAUGUCAUCCUCCUGAUGUCGUUCAAGUAUUGGAGGAAAAUAAGGUUAAAGCUAGUGCCAUUAACUGUCGUUCAUGUAUUUGCUCAAAAGUUGAUGUGUUUGAGUAGAUUGUAUUUAUGUUUGUUUAUUCUUUUUUCUUGUUUAACAGGGAACUCGAAAAAUUAAAGGCAUAUCUUUGGACUUGUCCGUGUUUCCGAGACACAUACUCUUGAAAUCUGAUGCCUUCGCAAUGAUGGAUGGUCUUCGAUUUCUCAGUAUCAAUCAUUCCUCCGAAGUUGAUAAAAUGCAGCUUCCUCCUACUGGCCUCGAGUAUCUUCCUAAUGAGCUGAGAUAUUUGCGAUGGGAUGGAUUCCCUUCGAAAUCCUUGCCGCCAUCUUUUCGUGCUGAACACCUUGUCGAGCUUCACCUACGCGGAAGCAAGCUUGAAAAACUUUGGACAGGAGUAAAGGUAUGAUUUAAUUGCUGCAUAUUUAUGAUAAAAAAUAUAAAGCUGGAGGUGCUAACUUUCUAAUUAUACCUUUUUCUGGUGACAGGAUAUUGGAAAUUUAAGAACAAUCAACCUAUCUGACUCUCCAUAUUUGACAGAAUUGCCAGAUCUAUCAGUGGCCAAAAAUUUAGAGUGCUGUAAUUUUAGAUCCCUGACACGUUUCAAAAUCGUUUUUGAAAAAAAUUGAAAAUUUUUUAUUUUUUAUUUUUUGUUUUAAAUUAAUAUUUUUAAAAUGUUUUCAAAUUAGUUUUAAUGUAUUUUUAAAUAAAAAAAUAUUUUUAAAAGCAACCACAACCAUACUUUUAAAAGCCUUGAAACUAAAGGGCUGUCCAAGUCUAACCGAGGUUCCGUAAUCUAAGUGGAAGUGCUGUCAAAGAGGUGUCCUCAUCAAUCCAGUUUCUCGCAAGACUCCGCGAAUUGGGAAGAUCUGUUUUAUCCCUUUCAAUCUCUUUUGUUUCUCCCUCAAUUUAUUUUCUUCUGAACUUUUGUUUGUUAAGGAAGAUCUGUGUCCGCCGGUAGAUUUUCAUCAAAGUGCAGAUACACCCCCACAGCUUUUCAACUCGACAGGCCUUCCGCUCUCACGAUGUCUCCACCUUCCCCGGUAGAAUUUAAAUGUAACUUCAUUGCCAGAAAAUUUACAUAAAUGAUUUGCCAAUUCGAGCUCGUAGUGUAGAAUCAUGUGAUCUGAGUCACAUGUCUUCAAGGAAUAUGAUGGAGCACGUCUUUCCCGGGAAGCGAAGACGACUUCAUCAUCACCAUCAUGCUCACCGUUUUUACUCUUAACAUGGUAAUCACAAUAUACAUGAACAUCAGAACGAUCAUCGAAUUCAUAAAGCAUGUCAUGGGAGGGAAGGAGUAGAUAGACAAGGCAGAAAGCAAUUCCCUUGAGCUGAUGACAAUUUGAGGGCAACUGUAUGGUGACUGAAGAUCCAAUUUCUGUCACCGAACCAUUCUGGAAUUUCACUCCCCGGUAGAACCAUAGUUUUAGAAAAUGAUCAAAAUAGGUCAUGGCUUGGGAUUGAAUGUUUGAUUUUUAAGUUAAAUAAAAAAUAAUUUCAAAAAAAACAAAGUUAUUAAAUCUAAUACAACAUAUAACUCAAAUCACGAAAUUACUUGGGAUUGAAUACUCACGCGUGAAUGUACAUGCUUCCAACCAUAUAGCUUCAAUUAUUAUGCUAUAACAUGCUUCAGCUAAGCAAGAAGCCAGCUUGAAGCUAUUCAUUCCUUGUGCUGUCAGUCAUCAUUCUUGCAAAUCACAAAUGUUUCAUGCCAAGAAGAGCCUUCUUAUCAAUUUAGUGCUCCAAACACAUGUCCUGGGAAACGUUACAGCUCUUUCAUAAUUAGGUAGCGAGAAAAAUCCAGAACUUUGAGGUUGAGUUUUUUGUACAAGAAAUAUACUAGAUGUGACUGUACCGUAUUUAUUUCUUUCUUUUUUCAGACUCUGCAGAAACUAAUCAACACUUCAUGUUCAGGGGAUGAAGAAGAGCCUCAUCCUCAUUCCUUCUCUGCAAUUACCACGAAUACAUCUUUCAGUGACCACCUACGUCUCUCACUUUUGGCAGGCGGAUUGAUAACAGCCUUUUCAGCAUUAGCUGCACGGUAACCAAUGACUAUCUCUCUUCUCUGUCGUGCGCGUAAUAGUACUUCAUAGAAACUCAAUUCCUCGCCUUCACUGAGGUAAAGAUCUGCUUGCCUUAUUUGUAGCUCAUUUCCCUGAUGAAGGCAAAAUGUUUGUGAAUGAUGAGUUUAACUGAUUAAAGGAUCUUAAAUUCCAACAUCAUCAAUAGCAACAAUUUCACUAAUACAACAAAGGAAUCACUCUGAUCAAUGCUCGAGGGUUGUUCUAAGCAGGAAAGAGAGAACAUGCUAGCAAACCCUUUGCUGUUGUGGUCCAACAUAUUAACUAGCUUAAUUUAUCACAACCAUAAUGAUUAUUUGGAUGCAGGGCUCACGCUAGGCUACUUUCUCAAUAUAAGAAGCAGGGCAUCAAAGUCAUUAUAAUAUAUGAUUUAAAGGAGUGACCAACUAAAUGCACUAGGGAACGAAGGUAAUGAUCACCUGAUGUGUUUAAGAUUUCAUCCUUUUCAGCAUUAGCUAGCAAAGUUUCAUGGGCUCUAUGCAGAUGGCCUUUUGUGUGUGUGUGUGUGUGUGUGUGUGUGAGAGAGAGAGAGAGGAUUUAACGUGAUUGUUAAAAGUGCUUUCAAUAUCUUCCCUCAAGAGUUGGGCAAAAAACUAGAGCAAUCCUGUAAAAACAUCGCAUGAUAGUACUUGUCAAACUACCUCCACUGAGAACUUUCCAAUUUCUGCUGAAUAGGAAAGCUAUAGUAAGUACCUCAUUUGUUUCUUUUAACCUUUACAUAUGUUCCGAAUUAAACAUAUAGAUAAGGUACUGACAGGCAAAUUAUGAGAAAAGAAAACAUUGCAUUCACUUGUUGGAAUUUUAUAUUGCAAUUUUGUAAGCCCACUUCGCCCUUCAAAAUUUGGUUUUCCAUAGAGUGCAAUACGAUCUCAGAAUUUAACAGAAGUGAGACAAAAGAAUACCUCAUCUGCAAAGAGCUCUUCUAAUACAUCAUUUAUUUGUUGAUCUUCUGCAACCAUGGCCAAUGCCAUGCUGACAAGUUCAUUUGAUAAAACAUAAUCACAAUGCAUCCAAAUAAUUUGGCAGAUGCCUUUAUACACACACGUGGUAUAUGCUCCACAACAUAUUAAUAAUAAUAUUUUUUUGAAAUAGAAAAAAUAUAAAGAAUAAAGAAAAUAUAUUAAAUGUUUUGAAUUUGAUAACAACCUAAUUUUAUGUGGUCCUGAUAAAAAUAUGACCGAAUGGUAUUGGGUCUAAUGGAGAUAGAACCCAACAUUAUUGAACUUUUAUGCAUGAUAAGACGCAUGAAAACUGAAAUCAUUGCUUUGUCUAUAAAAAUAAUAAUAAUAAACUAACAGAUUAGUAGUUUAUUGUACAUCAAAGACACAUAUAACUGUGGAUUAAAAUAAUUACGUCACUAUUUUGCUCUUUUAAAAUAAAAUCAUUUAAUCAGUUAUUAAAAACAAUAUAUUUUUUAUGUUAUCCAUUUAUUAUAACCGUAUUAAAUGAAGAAUGAAGAUAAAUAAGUUUUUAAACAUUUUAAAAAUACAAUGAAAUAACUUAAAUAUCUUUAAAAAUAAAAUUUUUAAAAUUAGGAUCCAUAAGUGUUUCGGUCUUUUAACAUUUUGAUAGUAUAGUGAAAUAACUAUAUUGCUCUUAAAUGUCAAAAAAAAUAAAAUUGAUGUUUAUGGUUUUUUUGUAUUUUUUUCAUGGCUUCUUAGUUAUAAUCAAUGUGAAUUAGGGACAUUUUGGUCUUUUAAAAAUAUAAAUAUAAUUAAAAAAUAAAAAGUGGUUUAUGUUGGUGUCUGAGAGAUGCCUGCACUCUUUGGGCAGCGUAUGCAACAUCUAUCAGCGGACAACCACUGCCUUUUAUGACGGCGUUGAAAGCAUCACAAUAUCAUUUUUCUAGUGGUCAGGUAUGUUUGCAUGGCUUUUUUUCAUUUUUUCUCUCUCUUAACCUCAAAUUUCAUGUUAGCUCUUUCAAAAAUUUAAUGUGUCUUUUUUUUCUUAUUAUUUUAAUUAAUAUUUAUUUUGCUUGAAAUGCAUUUUAAAGUUGAUUUUUUCUUCAAUUUUUUCUUUUAACAUUUUAUUUCUUGUCCUCUUUCAAACAAUAGAGUUAGGUUCUCUUUAUGGUAUAAAUAAUGUUUUUUUUUAUUUUUUCAGUUUGUUUUAAUGUGUUGUUGUAAAAAAGUAUUUUUUUUAAAUAAAAAAUACUUUAAAAAACAAUUAUUAUUUGCUUUCAUAUUAUAUUAUAGUGGUUAUGAUGAUUUGAUUGAGAAGAAUUUGUUAGACAACUAAUUUGAUAUUGUAUUUAUAGUUAUUUUUUAAAAUACUUUUUAUUUAGAAAUCUAUUAAAAUAAUAUUUUUUUAUUUUUUAAAAUUAAUUUCAUAUUAUAACAUCAAAAUAUGUUCUCAUGUACAAAGGGUGCACAUUGUUGAUUCCUGGGAAUUUAUUAUGUACAAAAAGCUUUGGUUUGUUUUGAUGUGUUGCUAUAAAAAGUGAUUUUUUUAAAAAUAAAUAAAAUAAUACAUUGAUAUAUUUUUAAUUAAAAAACACUUUAAAAAAUAAUUAUUAUAACACUCAUAAACACUUUAAAAAUGUUUGUGUGUGCGGGUAAUAUUUUUGCUUUCAUGUUAUAUUAUAAUGAUUAUAAUGAUGAGAAGAACUUCUUAGUGAACCUAUAUCGUAUUGUAGUAAUAUUUAUUUUUUAAAGUUUUUUUUAAAUGAAAAUAUAUUAAAAUAAUAAUUUUUUUAUUUUUAAAAUUUUAUUUUUGAUAUUAAUACAUCAAAAUAAUAUAAAAACAAAAAAAAAUUAAUUAAAAAUAAUUCCUAAAAAUAUUCCAUGUACAAAUGCUUCAUGUCUUGAUAUUUGUUUUUUUAUUAUUUGGUAGGGAAGGACAUCAAGUCUUCGAUCAAAGUGUUUGCUCGUACUGAGUACUCUGUUGACUUCACAUUAUAUUAUAAGGGUUAUUAUUAUUUCAAUGGGAAGAACUUGUUAUGCAUAACUUGUGAACCUGUAUAAAGUGUUGCGUGGAUAUCGCCGGCGAGAAGGAAAAGAUUAGCCAGCGGAGAUAAAAUUGUUGAUCUCUUGAGCUGGUCAAAUACCAUGUCAAAUCUCUUCCAAGGUUUAUCUGGACAUGGAUGAUUCCAGGUUGUAGUUCUAGUGUUGUGAUCAAUAUAAUACGUUUUCCCUGUUGCUGCGUCAGAUCGCCUCUCCCAGCCUGGUGGCAAUGGAGCAGCAUAUGCAUCACCAUAGUUAUUGACUGACUGAUAUAUAACAGUAAGCCAAAUCACUAUCAAGUGAUAUGGCCAACCUCCUGCGUUACUCCACAAAACAUUGCGGAGCACCAAAAUAACUAGCAGCAUUCCAAGGAAUCUGGAAAAAUUAAAACGAAUGACUCCAUUUUGAUGUGAUCUUAUGCAGAAAGCACCAGCAAAAUCAUCGGUGUAGAUGAUUUCACCCCUGCAAUCCUAUUUUUUAAGUCAUAAAUACAUGACAUGCUAUAAAAAUAAAAUAAAUUAAAACUUUUAUCCUUUUAAUUUAACUAAGAAAAUCAUCCUACAACUAUUUUACAGUUAUUUAAAGCAAAUUACAAUAUGAUUAAUUAAUAGAAACAAUGAUUUUUUUAAUUAAUAGAAACAAUUAAAACUAGGACUGAGCAUUUUCGGUGACAAUUUAAUUAUAUUUUUUCCCUUCUAAAAAAAUAACUGUAAACUCUUUAUCUUCUAUGCAGUCGAAUUCCGCCUCAUAGUCAUCACGAGUUUUAGAAUUUCACAAGGUAGAAUUUUAUCUUUUUAAUUUUUUUAAAAUUUUAUUUUUUAAUAUUUAAGUUUUUAAAAAUUCAUCUUCAUAUAUAUUUUACCUUUUAUUUUAAAUUUUAUUUUCUUUUGGAAUCAAAUAUCUCAAUCCUAGUUACUUAUCUAUUAAUCAAGUAUUGAUCUAUUUAUUUUAAUGCACAUAUAUAAGUAUUUUAAUUUAUAAUUAAAAAAAUACCUAUUUAUUUAUUUUUCUAUUAAAAAAAAACUAAUUCAAAAUAAAAUGAAAGGCAAAUAUCUAAUUGUUUUAUAAAAUAAUAUUAUUUUAGUUUGAAAAAAAAAAAACUAAACUAAAACCACUUUGUUUUGAAAUUGGCUUUGCUCAAUCGGCUAAUCAGCGAAUCGGGUUUUGGAUUCGAUCAGACCCCGGACCUGUAUGAAAUCUAUGGUCGGUCCCCACCUGAAGAAACGAGAGGCAGAGAGAAACCAAAGAGAUGAGCUAACGGCAUCGACAAGCCACACGAUUCGAUUCUCUACCAUGAUAUAUAUAUAUAUAUAUAUAUAUAUAUAUAUAUAUAUUGUUUCCUUUGACAAGUCGCAGCACAAAUUCCAAUACCCAUUUUCAGUUUCCUAGAUUUUGAGUAAGUUUUUGAAGUGGGUGGUUUGAUUUAGCUUAGCUUACCGUGUUGUAAAUUGUCAUCUUUUUUGUUGAAUGCUGUACUUGGACGUCACUUUUUGUAGUAUCAUGGUGUUAGUGAUUGUAUUGUGAGGAACCCAGUUGGGGAAUUGGUUUAUUUGUUCUGAAUCCACUCCGGUUUGGUUUGUUUUAGCUUAGUGUGUUUUACUUACUUGUGAGUUAUACACUUGAAUAUGUUGUUUUGUGGAACGAGUUCUUUGUUUUUCAUGAUUUUGUUUAAAAAUGGAGCUCAAGCUUGAGUUUCUAGAAGCCAACUUCAGGAGCGUUCAUCUUGGUAUAAUGAAUUGAAGCGAUCAUGGUUCAGUUUUGCUUAUUUUGAUCCAUUUCUCACUUGUCUUUCAUAGUUUUGAUCCACAUUGAUGCCAUUUGUUUUCACUAUUCGAGAAAGAGGUUACUUUUUUUUUUUCAAGGAAUCCUCUUAUAAGUUGAUUGCUUGUCAGAAAUGGAAAUAACCCUUAUUCAACUUAGCUUGGUUUAAUUACUGCUCUUUUUUUCAUGGGCGAAUUUAGAGAUUGAACUGCAUUUUAAUUGUAAAGUAUUACUUUCAUGCAGAACAUGGAAGCUUGGUGAUUUUGAUAAGGUUUAUAUUGAGUUAACAAAAGAUGUUGCCUGUUUGCUUUGCCACUCAGUGUUGUUCCUCUCAUUCUCAGGUGAGUUUCACUUCCUAGACUGUAAUUUAAUUCGUGUUGUUGCCAAGUUUCUAUCAUCCCUGUACCUUGAAUUUCAUCUAUGCCCUUAGUUUUAGAGAUACAUGGCCUCUAAUUAGGUGGAGAACAAGCCGGGACUAUAAUUGAACUUUCGCUAAAGAGAGAAAUUCUGGUGUCAAAAAAUAAAAGAAAAAAUAUUAGUGUAACUAGACAUGUCUGCCUCUUUAUAAAAUAUGUUUGAUGUAUUUGAGUUGAAAAAUCUGGGGUGCCUAAGUGAAGGUUUUGAAUGAAGGUAUAAAUUAAUCUUCAACUGUUUAAGUAUAAAGGUCAGUAUGACAUCAUGUAGAGCUUAUGUGCCCAAGUGAAGGUUUUGAAUUGAUUCUCAUGCUCUAACAUGGUAUCAUCGUCCAGUUAGCUUUCUCCUUCCUUCUAGGCCUACACAUCAGAGGGAUGCUGAGUAAAUCCCUUAACAACCUAGCAGAAAGUUUUGCAUGGCCUAAUAAUCUGCUUGUACAUCUCCGUUUAGUAGUUUAAGCAUCUGGGUGUGAUUCCCUAGCACCAACUUCCUUCUCAUGUGCAGUGGAUUAUGAUGGCAUUUUCUCUCCGCUUAAGAGUGUGUUUAGCAUUGCUGUCAAAACACCGUUUGCUAAAAAUAUAAUUCUUUUUUCUUAAAAAAUUUUUUUGUUGUUUUUGAACCGUUUUGAUGUGUUGAUGUCAAAAAUGUAUUUUAAAAAAUAAAGAAAACAUUAUUUUGAUGUGUUUUCGAACGAAAAACACUUUGAAAGUAACCGCUACCGCAAUGUCAAACACGCUCUUAAUCUGAUUACUUACAUCAGAAUAUAAAAUUAAGAUAUGAGGUAUGUGAGACUCUUCAAUAUACAAAUUCCUUGUCCACCUUUAAAGAACAGAAUUUGACAAUUUUCAGUGAAGCCUUGCAGGUAGUAACUUCCAUGCACAUCGGUUAUCAAUUCACCAAGUUUUGUUUUAUCAUGUCACAUCUUUCUUCAUAUACCUCUGGCAUAGUAUUUCUAUUGUCAAAAAUUUCAUUCAUGUAUUUGAAACCACAACUAUUGCAGAUAACAUUCCAAUGAGGUCUGCGACCAUUUUGCUCAGUCUGGAAGGAUUUCGAGUCCAGAUGUUAUGUCGUAGACAGGGUACUUUUGGGAAUGUCAAAUAUAACUCAUCACCAAAGAAUUUCCUUCAAAACACAAGCUAUAAAGUCUUUCUACUCCAAUUUUAUUGAAAGCUUUGCUUUCAUUAAUGAUCAUUCUUGCCCAAAUGAACUAGGCAACAUUAAUUGCACCCACACCCUAUGGGAGAGGGUAAACUGAAAUUCUUAGAAAGUUAUAACAUAUCUGAUGUUGAAAAAGGACAUUUGAACUCUGCAGACCAGUUUGUUGAUAAUACAGAUAGUUUAAUAUGACUUGUGGAACUUGAAAUAACAUCAACUAUUGAUAUGACACCAGAGAAUCCCAGUUUGGGAUCUGAUUCCCUGGAAAUGGAUAACGAUUCAUUAUCUAGUGCAAAGGCUGCUUUUGAUUAUUUUUUGGGCGAGGUUAGGGACUCCAUCAACACUUCAAUAAAUAAUGGAGGAAAUGUUGUGCAAAGCUCACUAGACACAAUUACUUCUUCAAUAAUAUUGUUUAAGGAAAGUGCUUCAGAAGCAGUAGAUGGUGCCUUGAGUAAAGUAUUCUCUACUUUUGAUCAAACAGGAGAAUUAGCUGGCGAUAGAUUGACUAACUUUUCAUCUGGUUUGAGGGAAGCCACACAAAAUGCUACUGGCACUUCUAUUGAUGUGCUCAGAGUUGCAAUCGCUGCAGUGGAGGAAUCUAUAGCAAAAGGGGCUUCUUUUAUUGUUUAUUCUUAUGGGCCUGCCAAGGAUUUGCUUCCUCCAAAGAUCAGAGGCGUGCUGAAUCUGUCUGAAGAAAGGAUAACACAGAUUUUGAGGCCAAUUGGUGCAACUUUUCAACAUGUACAUUAUGCUUGGCACGUUUUACUUUGAUGGCUGUUGUACUCUCAUUUAAUUGUAUGGACUUGAAAAAAAAAAAAAAAAUCUCCUGCAAAGAUAUAUUUGGAUUAUUUUAGAAAUCUUUUUGUUGGAGACAUCAGUCACUGCUUUCAGCUUACAGGACUUCUAGUUGAAAACUCAAUUACGUCCAUCUCUGUUACAUUGCUUAAUUAUGUGUUGAUCUAACUAAUUUAUGAUCCAAAACCAAAGCUGAAUUUCCUAAACCUGCUUUUACACCUUAAGCAGGUUUACAUUGCUAUUGAGGGGCUGGAGAAAAGGCUUGGCUUGGAUCCAAAUGAUCCAGUUGUGCCUUUUGUUCUUUUCCUUGGAACCUCAACCACUUUGUGGUAUGGAUGUCCUUUUGUGCAUAAAGAUUUGUUUAUUUAACCUGCAUUACAUGGGAAGCUUAAGUUUUCUACCAGAUUUGUGCAGGGGUUUUUAUAGGGUGUGGGUAUAUGGUGGUUACUCUGGAGAUUUGUCUCCGCAAUUAACUUUGGAGCUCUUGGCAGGGAAGGAAGACGCCAUACUUAUUGAUGUCCGGCCUGAGGCAAGAGAGUAAAUUUUCUGGCCUUUUAUGUUCUUAAGUUUCUUUUGUUAGAAAUUCUAGUAUCUCAAUGAGAGACACUAAAGCUGACUGCUCAGACAUUUACUGAAGGGUCUGUAUUGUUUUUUCAACUCUGUUCAUUAAUACAUUCCAUCUUGUAGCUACCCCAUUUCAUAUUUUCAAUAGUUAAUUUCUUUUCACUAGGAAAUAUUACUUACCAUCCACCUUUCUACCCCAUUUCUUUUACAUCACGGUAAAAAAAUCUCAAAUUUGGCACCCUCAUUAAUUUCCUUUUUUUCCCGUUAACUUGGCAUUGAACUAGGUGGACAUUGUUUAUAUGAUGGUUCUCAUAGAAAGAGAUGGCAUUCCUGAUCUUAGGCGAGCCGCUCGGUUUUGCUAUGCAAGUGUAACUCUACCAGAGGUUGGUUUUAUUUGAUAAUACUAUUCUAAAGCUAUGAGUGGAGAGGUAUUGCUAUUUGGUAUGAGGAUGAUAGUUUAGAACAAUUACUUUGUUUCUAAAUGUCAAAUAACUCUUUGAACCAACAAUAAAAAAAUAAAACAAGAAUUGGAGCUUGGCUGUAUCCCUUUUUCAUAACUCUGUCUUAUAUUCUUCAACUUUAUUCUGGUAGAUGGCCCAGUAAGGAAGCUUUUAAAGGGUGGACGGAUCUUGAUGACAUCUUAAUUGCCUCAGUCAUUCGAAACUUGAAAGCUGUACAGGUAUAGCUUUAUGUUUUAAGAGCUUUGAUAUAACUAUUGUUUAUGCAUGCUGUCAUUGUUUCGAGACAUUCAGAAAAAUGAGAAUUCUGAGUGGUGCAAGACAGAAAGGAAAUUCUCGGGGGGAGUGAUUUGGGUUUGGUUUAAUCGAUGUUGUGUGUUUUAGCAUCAGUGGCCUCUGAGGACACAAGAAAUUGUUUUGGUAUUACCAUAUGCAGUACAGUCGCUACAUCACAAUCUCCUGAGUGUUCCAUUUUUAAAUCCUGAAGCAGGAACAUUGUCUCAGAGAUUUUUUUUUUCUUAUACUGUAGGACAAGUACCAGGUAAUGGUUAUGGAUGCUGAUGGUUCUCGUUCUAAAGGCAUCGCUAGAUCCUUGAGAACGCUUGGGGGUUAAGGCAAGUAUUUGGAAUCUCUAAGAAUUUUUUUUUAUCACAUAAAAGCCUAAACAUCUAAUUCAUCAUGGAACUAGAAGGGCAAAAUGAAUUUAUCCACUCUCCCUUAGUCAAGUUUCUUUGGGAUAUAAAACAUUUCUGAGAGUUUUUCAGUAUCAGUAACCUUAGAAACAAAUAACAAUAUCCAUAUUAACCAGAUUUGGGAAGAGUACAUUAAUGUCUUAUGUGCAUUUACAAUGUUGUUAAGUCAAAAACCGUUACUCCUUAUGCAUGUUUUCUGUCGUAUAAAUGCUAUAGAUAGAACCCAAUUUUCAUUCCGGUUGUUCUCAAGUGGUAUAAUUCAGAAAGCACAUUAGUAUUACAUCUAACUUAUGUCCUUAAAAUCUCUCUCUCUCUCUUAAAAAUAAUAAAAAAAAGUCUUUACCUUGCUUGAAUGGGAAGUUGCAAUGUAUUAAUCAAUUUCAAUAUUCUUUUAUUUCACUCCAUAGAUUGAUGUAAAUGGCUUGUAGAGAAACAAGUUAAAUGCAUGAAUUUUAGAUGAUAUCAUGGUUCAUUCCUGUACUAAUCAUAUAAUUUAGAUAGAGAAGAUAGUAGAAUUUUGCAGAAUUAAACUUUGUGACCUGUAUUAUAAGAAAAUUUGAACUGCCAGGUUAGUCUAUUGUUAAUCUGGAACCACAACCUAUUGUAUCAUAUUGCUAAUUGUUUGUUUGCAUUUUUAUGUGACAAAGACCAUACUUGGUCCAACGUGGCUUCCAACCUUGGGUAAAACAAGGUAUCCAAGCUAAGGAGCUGAAACCUGAGACCAUGCCAACCAUACUUAAUGAGGUAAGGUUAUUGCAUGACUUGCAUAUUCUCUUAACUAGUAUAAAAUUCUAGAAAUACAAAAUUCUAUUUCCCGAAAGCCAUUGAUCAACUCAAAGUAUAUGUGUGGACAAUGACAAGCUGUAGAUUAUACAAUAAUAUAUUCGGCCAACUGAGAUAAACCUAGAGAGUUGAUUAAUUUGACAUUUAUUUCAAAAACACAUGAAAAGAGUGAAAUUUCUUUGUUGGGUGCACAUUGGUGCACAAUGGAUACUAUCAAAAUGGUAUCCACACCGCAUAGAACAACAUGCACACACAGAGGCAUAUGAGAUGUACUUGUGUCUGUGCAGUGCGUGUGUAAAUUUACAUGGAGAGACUUAUUUCAAAAACAAAUAAAAAGAUGUGCUAUGUGCAAUCACACUUGUAUGAACACGUGCAUCAUGAGUGUUUGUAUAUAUGUAAUUGAUGGGCUACCAUAAACUGGGUAUGCAGGCCAUAGGAAUUGUGUAUGUUUCGACACAUGACGGUUUUCUUUUUCUUUUCUUUUUUGUUGCUGUCCUCACAUUCUUCUUGUCCACCAAGCUUGAACUUUGUUUCAGAGUGGGAGAAGACCUUACAAUUUAUUGCCAUCACUGGCCUCAGUCAGGUAUACUUUUAUUUGUUAUAGUGCUCUGGUUAAUGUUUUUUUUACACACACAGAUGUUGAUUGUUGAGCUGAUAAUGGUUAAAACAAACUUCACACAUUCUGAUAUUGUGCUAGUACUCAGAUCCUUUGAUGUAUUCUGUAAAAAUAGCAUGUAUAUGACCAUUAAGCUAGAUUCCCUUUGUCUAUUUUGCACGUGUUCUAGGGAAAGGUUUAUGUCAUUGAUAAAUUUAGUUAAGUAAACCUUGAGUUUCUCUAAUUAUUGGUUUCUCACACUCCGCCAGACUAUUUAUCAGUGGGUUUCUUCUUAUAAUGGCCCUAAAGAUUUUAAGUAAGAUGUGAGAAGUACUUUAGACACAUAGAGGUAAACAUGUGAUUUGCAGAAGCAAAUAUUCAAACACGCAACUAGAAAAAUUGUUCACAUACGUGUGGUUAUGGCGCAUCCCUAGCUUGGACAAAGAAAAAGACGCAACUAGCUCUUAAGAAUUCUUAGUUGUCUGCAUUGAAGUCUCAGCUAACUUUCAAUCCUUCUCGAGGACUUGUAAGUAGGUUAGGUGCAGUUCUAGGUUUUGUUUCUGAGAUCACGUUUCAAUUGGCCUCACGCUAACCACUUCAUGAGGGAAAACCUCACAAACUUUAUAAUAACUAGGACGGAGACUACUAUUUUUGUCUUGUUUUUCCUUGGGUUAAGCUAAACGUCAGAAACAUGUUAUACGACUAAUUUCUGUCGUUUUUAUAAUGACACCCUUGUUUUUUCUUUUUCUUUUUUCUUUUUUCUUUGUGACGUGGAGACGCUCAUCUCGUAUAAAUUAAUUUUUUUGUAGUGGGUAACUUAUAUUUUUGUGAGAGGUCGGAGUACAGCUCGUGACAUAUCUAAUAUCUCUUUGAUGGACCCCCGGUGUAGGAGAGGAAUGCCAGACCCAUGGCCUGCGAAUCGUGGAUGAAAAGAACAGGGCAGACAAUCUAUAAAUUGAAAUGCUUAAACUCAACGAUAUGGGAAUUCUUCAAUGAAAUGCUAUUUAAUUAGCAUUAGUAUUUCUCUUUUCCAAAAGAUCUUCCGUUCAAACCUUUUUUUUAAUUAGAAAAAACCAUGGAAAGUUGAGCCGUGGACAUGUACCCACCACAAAUUUUGUCAAGAGAUUCUAUGGAUCCAGUUUUAUAAUGAGGUUGGUUAGCUGUAAAGGUCCCCAAUUCGGUUCAAAAAAAUUUUGUUUGAAUUAAUUUUGUUACCUUUUAUUUUAUUUUUAUAUUUCUUAGUUUUAAGUUUAUUUAUUUAUUUAAAGAGUUAUAAUAUAUGCAAUAACAGAAUCUUGAAUACUUACUGUUUUUCUUUUGUUGUUAGUAUUCAUUAGUUAGAUGGUUGUUACAGUUAGUUGAGUAAUUAGUUGAAUAACAGAGAGUUAGUUCAUUAGUCAGUUGCAAGGAAAUAACAAUAUUUACAACUAUCUUGAAAACCAAGUAAUAAUUUAAGAACAAUUUGCAGUAAUUACAGAACUCUCUCCCUUUCAAUCUCUUUUAUUUCUCCCUCAAUUUAUUUUCUUCUGAACUUUUAUUUCUCCCUUUCAAUUUCUUUUAUAUCUCCCAAAAUUUUCUUUUGAACUUUUUGUCCGCCCGUAGAUUUUCAUCAAAGUGCAGAUACACCCCACAGCUUUUCAACUCGAAAGGCCUUCGGCUCUCAUGAUCUCGCAUCCUUCCCCAGUAGAAUUUAAAAGUAACUUCAUUGUCGGAAUAUUUACGUAAAUGAUUUACCAAUUUGAGCUCGUAGUGUAGAAUCAUGUGAUCUGAGUCACAUGGCUUGAUCAAGUAACGUAAUAGAAGGCUUUUCUGGGAAUCUAAGACGACUUCAUCAUCACCAUCAUGCUCACUGUUUUUACUCUUAACAUGGUAAUCAAGAUAUAAAUUAACAUCAAUAUCAUCGACUUUAUAAGGCAUGUCCUGGGAGGGAGGAGGGAGGAGGGAGUAGAAAGACAAGGCAGAAAGCAAUUCCCUUGAGCUGAUGACAAUUUGAGGGCAACUGUAUGGUGAGUGAAGAUCCAAUUCCUUUGUCACCGAACCAUUCUGGAAUUUCACUCCCCGGUAGAACCAUUUGAAUUCUGCCAAGUGGGAUCUCCUCUCCGGAAUGUAACACAAAAGUCACAUUUCAAAAAUGUGAUGAAGCAAGCAAGAGAGAGAGAAGAAAGAAAGAGAAGGGGGUUUAGAGAGAUACCUGAAUUUUCAAAUGCAUUGCCUCUAUCUGUUCUUUCUGAUCCAAUUUGAAGCAAUUUGUAAAAUCCCUUUGAAACCGUAAUGUCAGCGAAGAGGGAAUCUCAGGUAACGCUUUAAUAGCUGUUCCAUGGAAAGUCAGAUGUUGCAAACAUACCAUAUCUUUGAUUGACAAGGGUAGCUCUUUGAUAGGUGUUCCAUGCAAUUCCAAAUAUUCCAAAGAUACCAUAUCUUUGAUUGACAAGGGUAGCUCUUUAAUAGGCGUUCCAUCUAAUCUUAGAGUCGUCAAAGAUAUCAUAUGCUUAAAUGAUGAUGAGGGUAUCUCUUUAAUGCCUGUUUUACUCAAGUAAAGAUAACGCAAGGAUUCCAUAGGCACUGUGAUUUCUGGGAAGCUCUCAAGUUUUGAGCAACCACUCAUAUCCAACGUUUCGAGUCUUGUGAGAAACUGGAUUGAUGAGGGCACCUCUUUAAUAGCAGUUCCCUUUAGUUCUAAUGUUUUUAUAUCCUCUAAAUUCUCCGGAAACUUGGUCAUCUUUGAGCAACCACUUAGAUAAAGAUAUUUCAACCGGCCAGUAACUGAUUGUGGAACUUCUUUGAUUGAAGUUUGUUCCAACUUUAACCAUACCAUAUUUUGUGAAAUCGUUGGACACGUGGUCACAUCUAGGCACCGACUUAUAAUAAGGAAUCUGAGAACCUUUGAAUAAAGCAUUGGAAAACUUCUAAGAUUAUAGCAAGAACGGAGAUUAAUUACUUCCAGCUUGUCAAGAUAUUGAAGAGAUGACGGAACCUCGGUUAAACUUGGACAGUCCGUAAGAUCUAAGGACACUAAAUUUUUGGCCAUUGAUAGAUCUGGCAAUUCCGUCAAAUAUGGAGAGUUAGAUAGGUUAAUUCUUCUUAAAUUUCCAACAUCCUGUCAACAGAAAUAGGCAUAAUUAGAAAGUUAGCACCUCUCCAACUUCAUAUUUCUGAUCAUAAAUCUGCAGCAAUUAAAUCAUACCUUUACUCCGGUCCAAAGUUUUACAAGCUUGCUCCUGCUUAAGUUAAGCUCGACAAGAUGUUCAGCACAAAAAACACGCGGCAAGGAUUUUGAAGGGAAUCCAUGGCAUUUCAAAUAUCUCAGCUUAUUAGGAAGAUAUUCGAGGCCAGUAGGAGGAAGGUUCAUUGUAAAUUCAUUUUCUUGGAAGGAACCAACAUAGAAACUGAGAAAUCUAAGACCAUCCAUCAUUGCGAAGGCAUCAGAUUUCAAGUGUAUGUGUCUUGGUAACCAGUCCAAAGAUAUGCCUUUAAUUUUUAAUUGAUUUCCCUGUUAAACAAGAAUAAAGAAUAAACAAACAAUAGUACAAUCUACUCAAACACGUCAACUUUUGAGCAAAAACAUGAACGACAGUUAAUGGAUGUAGCUUUAACCUUAUUUUCCUCCAAUACUUGAACGACAUCAGGAGGAUAACAUAACCUGCUACGUUCGCCAGGAAAAUCAGAUUCUGCACGAACAAUGUUAAAUGCCAUUUCUUGUAGUAAAUCAUGCAUUUCUAGCCUAUCAUAAUCAUCAGUAGUUAUGAGACACUUAUCAAUGAGCGUGCUUAUAUCGAACUUCACAGAUCGACCAUAUAAGCAAUCUAAUAUUCUUGUUGCUUCGUCUUGGUCCAAUCCUAUGAAGAAAUGUGCUAUGUCAAGAAAUAUGGAUUUUUGUUCUGAAUCCAACCCAUCGUAACUAAUUCUCAACGCCCUUUCGAUUCGAGGGUGCUGAGCUAGUUUAUUCAAUGCACUGCGCCAUUCUUCGAUGUUUUUACCAUAGAGAGAGGAACCCAAAACUAUAAGAGCCAACGGAUUGCCUUGUACAUGACUUACAAUCUUUUCUAUCAAUUCUCUAUGAUCAAUUGUGGGGUUGCAAUUCUUCAAGGCAUUCGAGCUAAAGAGUUGAAUAGCUUCUUCAUCGUUCAACCCCUCAACCUCGUAUGUCUCAUCAACUACAUUACUAAGCACUUGCUUGUCCCUACUGGUUAUGAGAACUUUACUGCCCGGACCAAAUGAAUUGUUUCGUCCAUCAAGCAAAUCUUUCCAUUCUUCAAAACGCAUUAAAUCAUCCACAUUAUCCAGAACAAUAAAAACCUUUAUUCGACGAAGUCUAUCCCUCACAAAAGAAUCUCGAAAACUCAAGGAGCCCAUAGUGUUCAGAGUUUCUUGGCCAAGCAGUCGUUUAAGAAAUUUUCUUCGCAAAUCAGAUUGUUGCCUAAAGUUUUCAAAAAAGAUUCCAUCAAAUCGAGAACGAACCUCGUUGCACACAACCUGAGCAAUCGUUGUUUUACCGAUACCACCCAUUCCCCAUAUCCCUACAAUGAGAACAUCUGGAGACUCCAUAUUUAACAAAGACUCAACUUUGCUAACAUGAACAUCAAUUCCAAUUAGACCCGUCAUAAUAUGACUUGAAGACAUGACAUGUAAUUUGUUCAAAACAUCUCCAACGAUUUUCUCAAUAAAUUCAGACUCCAGCCUAACAAACAAGAAGAGCACACAUAAUUGUUAGUCAAAAUGGACCGGACAAGAAGAAACAUAUAAACAUACUCACUCCUUAGUAGCUAUAUCUAUACAUAGUAGACACGUAUGAGUAAUUGAGCAUCAUUAUUGGCAAUGGAUAGUGCUAAUGUAACACAUGAAUCGAUGAUAACAUUGAGUUGAGUGAUAUGUAAAAAUACAUGACAUUUUUCAGUGAUAUGCAUGUAACACAUGAAUCGAUGAUAACAUUGAGUUCAGUGAUAUAUAACACAUGUAAAAACUAGAAACUACAUGUAAUCGGUGUUUAUCUAAUAAAAUCAAUUAAAUGCAAAUGCAUAUGAUGUUUUCUCAUGUCAUCCUUUUCACCUCAAACAAAUAGAAUAUUAUUUAACGACAAAAGAAAACAUUGUCUGUCCUUGUAAAAUUAUUUAAAACAAAAAGAAUAAUUAAAAAAAAAACAUUUUGAAACAUAAAAACAAACAACCACUUAAUAUCAAUACAAGCCUUAAUAUUUAUACAAGUAUUUUGCUACAAAUAAUAUUUUUUUUUCAAAUUAUUUUUAAUAUAAACAUAUUAAAAUAAUUUAAAAACAUUAAAAAAUUAAUUUAAAAUAAAAAUAAUUAAAGUUUUUACAAAACAUUUUAAAACACAAAAACAAACAACCACUUAAUAUCUAUACAAACAUUUUAUAUUAAAUAAUAUUUUUUUAUUUUUUAAAAUAUUUUUUUAAUAUAAAACACAAAUAAUAUAAAAAACUAAAAUAAAAUAUUUAAAAAAAAAACCAUUUUAAAACACAAAACAACCAACCACUACAACGUUUUCAAAAUCAAAUAAAAUAAAUAUAAAUUCACAGAGCUCAUCAUUCUCAAUAAUUUUAAAUUAAAUUUCAAAUCCUCAACAAAUGAACGAAUAUUUUCUCAUGGGAUAUAUUUCAAGAGCUUACUCAGAAUUCCCUAAGCUCCAUCCAGAUAGAUUGGCUGCAUCCGUCAAAGCGUCUCUGAAGCUCUGCACUUCUUCCAACGUCAGAGCUUUAUUCCUUAUAAGUCUAGCAAAUGCAUCCCCAAAGCUUCCAGUUUGAUUUCUUACAUGGGAUGGAUCCACCUUGUAAAAUACUGGAAUAACUAUAUGUCCAUUUUUUUUUCCACGUUCAAAAAUCUUUGCAAGCUCCUCCAAGCACCUUUUGGAAGAUGCAUAGUUUUCAGAAAAAACAAUCACAGAAAGCUUGGCCUCUUCAAUUGUUCUCAGAAGUGAUUCCGGAAUCUCAUCUCCUCUAACAUGCUGAUCAUCUUCGAAAGUUAGGAUUUGUUUCCGUUUCAAAGCAGCAUGGAGGUGGCUGGUAAAACCAACACGAGUUUCUUCUCCUCUGAAACUAAGGACGACAUCACAUUUAAUUCCUUGUGGCUGGGCGGUGGUUAAGGUGGAAGGAGUAGAUGGCGAUGGAGAUAUAUGACGGCUUCGUAUGAUGAAUCUCCAGAUAUAAGCAAACAUUUCGAAGAAACAAGAGUAAGACUCUGGUGGUAAGGGAGGUCUGGAGGGAGAGAGCGGAAGUAACUCAAGGAAAAAAGAUGAGGCUGAUUUUGAGUCAGUAGCUUAG
RNAcentral lists this long non-coding RNA (44438 nucleotides) under Populus tremula. RNAcentral's name for it is "long non-coding RNA (PTRE_LNC001616)". Lineage: Eukaryota; Viridiplantae; Streptophyta; Magnoliopsida; Malpighiales; Salicaceae. The record is from RNAcentral.